This 46887-nucleotide long non-coding RNA is filed under the name Jatropha curcas. RNAcentral describes it as "long non-coding RNA (JCUR_LNC001178)". The record is from RNAcentral. Lineage: Eukaryota; Viridiplantae; Streptophyta; Magnoliopsida; Malpighiales; Euphorbiaceae.
UCUUUUUUUGUUUCUUUAAUGCUUCCAAUGAUUGGUGACAUGCAAUUCUUAAGAGAUUAUCCUAUUGAUGAGAAGGGUACUGUAGAUUUUAAAUUUUUCACAAUUGUUCUUUUGUCAUGUAUAAAUUUAGCAGAAAACUUUCUAAGAUUUUACUGUGUCUCCUACCAAAAAUAUAGAAAUUUACUGCAUUUCUUAUUCAUUCCUAUUAAAAAAUAUAUAUUUUCAACAAAUACAACUUUAUAGAGCUCUACAGUGACGAUGACAAACAAAAUUCCGAAGAAAAGAAAAAAUUCACACUCGUAUUGUUCAGCAUUGGCUGCAAAUUAUCACAAGCAGUUUAAUAUGCUAGCAGUGUCAUUUGCAUCAUGAACAUAAAUAGGCAAAAGUAUAUUAUUAAACAAAGUUAGAAGCUGGAAAUAAUGACCAAAAUAAUAAAGAGAGGAACUUACAUGUAUAACCAGAACUGGACAGUUAACAUUCCGUAUUUUGUCUAUAUUCUGUAAAUAACAGACAGUUUCUCCAAUUAAAAAUGAAGAACGGAACUAAGUUAAUAUCUUAAAAAGAACAAGAGAUUGAAGGAACUGGUGCUAAACUUGCCUUGAAAAUGUCAAACCAAAAUGUCAUCUUGACAGGAUAUAAAACCCGUAUGCCCGAAAGGAUUGCACUAUGAAGAACAACACCUCUCAAUUUAUGUAAACGAGAAGCUAAAUGCAGGGUUGGUCCACUUCCAACAGAUUGUCCAUACAAGAUCAAAUCCUCUUGCUUGACUUCAUAAUCAUUUUUCAGACAAUUAUACACAGCCUCAAUGUCAUAAUAUGUGUUGAAUUCAGACGGCUAUUAAAAUUAUAGAAACAACGACUGAUCAGGUGUGGAACUAGUCACGUAUAUAGGCGAAGAGACAAAUGGAGACAUGUAGGUAAUCAAAUUAUUGACUCAAAAUCUAGGGUUUAUAGAAUGCUUUUAGUUUAUACCUUGCCAGAAGAUGCUCCAUAUCCUGAAUAAUCAUAGCUGCAGCCAAAAUAGCAAAAUGUCAAAAUAAGUGCCAAAAAACAUAACUUGCUAUAAUCUUAACAACAAAGGCUUAGCAGCAGCAUAUGAACUUAUGAAACCUCAGAAAAUUAUUUUCUCUAAACCUUAACAUGAUGGCUUUUCGUUUUAUUUAUUUAAUUUUUUUGCAUGUAUUUGGGAUUAAGGCUUAGCGUUGUUGCUGUAUAUUGGAAUGAUAAAAAAGAUAUAAAAUCUCGAUUAGCUAAAUUUGAGUAUAUACUCAGCAUACAAUCACAAAAUGGAAAAAAAAAUAAAAAAAUAAAAAUUCAGAUAAAUUUUAACACUUUAACACAAAAGCUAAUUUGAAUUAGCAGAUAGUGACAAAUGGUGCAACAAAUUUCCAAAGAGAUCGGGAUAACACCAGAAAAUAUCUGGCUUAUGAUCAAAUUUAAUUUAGAAAGGACAAUUUAUCAAAUUCCUUUGGGGUGUACUCAGAAUCUAAGGUCACAAAAGUGAAAAAGAAAUGCUUAUAAAUCUGCAAAAUUAUUAAAUCAAUGCCCAGAUAAAAAUUGGCCCAUGAUUCUAAGUCUUCCUCUCUAUAAAACCAACAGAUACGAUAGCACCGACAACCAACAAAUCAAAAGAUAAAAUAGGAAAAAAUAAAUAAAUAAAUAAAAGAGAGAAAUCACGAUCAGCAAAUGAUGGGUGUUGAAGUAAUUGCACAAACAAAACAAAACAAAUAAAAGCAAACCCAUUAAUCCAUAACUAAAAAAUAAUUAAUACCCAGAAUCGAUUAUUAUCCCCAGUCCAAAACAAUCAUUAAAUAAAAGUGAGCCACAAAAUCAGAAAAUUAGUAUUCAAAACAACCACCAAAAUAUGAACAUAGAACAGGAUUGAAAUCGAAAAUCAAAAAAUCAGAAAAAGAAAAGAAAAUACUCCCAGAAAUGAAGCAAUAAUGAAAGAAAAUGGGCAGAGAAAUAAUUCCAAAAAAAAUCAAAACCAAUAAACCAGAAAAAGAAAAACAAUUAUACCUCAUAAUAUUAACCCUUAAAUGAGCUCUAAGCUCAAUAAACAGCUCAAGCAUUUGGCCAAGGUCAGCUGCGUUCCCAUGGGAAUAUAAAAGGGUAAACCUCGCAAAAGGGUGUUUCCAAAACGUUGCCACAAUUUUAUUGCCGGCUUUUGUCUCCAACAAGUGAACGUCCAUAUUCUUAUCAGCUGUGACUCCAGGCAGAAUCAACCUCCCAUCUUCUUCUCUACAUAUAUCAUAAGUUGGCGGGUCAGGCGGGAAGAAAGCGAAUUUCGCUGCCACAUUAGACGUUACAUUUCCCAUUUACUUUCCUUUUUGUUUUUCCUCUAUUACAAAAACAAAUUCUUCAACGCAAACCCAGUUCAAAAAUAUGGCGUAUAUACAAUAAAUGAUCGUUAAAGAAAAAAAAAAAAAAGAUAAAAGAUUUUUAUCUGGUUUAAGUAAAUUUUGGUUAUGAUGUUUUUAUGGGUUAAUGAGAAAAGAUCCAAUUUAAGAGGGCGAGUUGAAGAUGGCGGUGAUGAUGGUGGUGAGGAGGGAACAGAAACCCAGAAAAUGAAUAAUGAUUUGGAUACGAAGUUUUGGAGGACAAAUGAGAGAGGGAGAGACAGAAAGGAAAAAUAUGUUUUGGUUUAGAGUUUUGGUGGAUGAUGAAUUGUUAGUGUAAACCUGCUUCAAUUUUUUUUUUUUUUUAAAAAAAAAAACCUGCUUUUGUUAUUUAUCUAUUUAUUUAUUUAAAUUAUUUUUGUAUCUUUGACCUGUUUUCUAUUUUUGAGAUGAUGUUAGAAAGUACAGUUUUGACCCUUUUUUUCUUGUACACUCCAUCAAUUAUAUGAGCAACAAGAAAAAAAAAAAUUGUCUAUUGGUAAUUUAUUAACUUUUGAAAAUUAAUUUUCUUCAAAAGCAAUAUUUUUAUCAUGAAAAAUAAAUUUAAAACUCUUAUUGUUAACAAAUAAAUUUAAAAACUUUAUUUAAAUAUUUUCAUGUUUUUUUAGGUUACUUGUGUCAAAUUAAUUUUUAAUAGUCUCUUACUAAUAUAUUCUUGGAUUAUACCUUUUGAGUUUUAAUUUUAUUAUGCCAAUAUAGCUUAAAAGAAAGAAAUAAUGUUAGUUUUCAUUUUUCAAAAUGGAGGUGGAUAUAUUAUUUAUAGUAAAAAAAAUAGAAUUAUUCAAAAUUUUGGGUCAAUUUUGGUAUAUUUCUUGUUGUUUCCUUAUUGUUUAAUAUGAUAUUUAUUAUUAAUAUAAUAUCUUAAUUUUAAUUCAACAUUAGACAUUUGUAGUUUGUGCAAUUAUAAAUAAAGUUCUUUGAAUGGAGGAAAACGUGUCAACUUGUUUAACUAAUAAUUAAUCAUUACUAUUAAAAAAAGUAAUUAAUAUUGCUUAAAUAAUAAAUUUUAUUUGUAUUUUUUAAUAUAUUUUUUAUUAAUUUAAUAUUAGAUAUCAGAAAAUAGAUAACCGAAUAAGAAAAUUAUUUAUGACGAGGCAUAUGAAAUUAAGAAAAAAAGAGAGAUAAAUAAAAAAGAAAAUCAUUUAUUUUUACUCAAAGGUGAUAUAUAAUUUUUUGCACAUAAAUCGCAAUUUUGUCUUUUCAACAUAAGUUGAAAGACGUCUUAAAAACGGAGGCUACGUCCUUCAAAAAAAGUGUUCUUAAACGUUAAUUCCUUAAUUAAUUAAAAGUAAUAUAAAGAUGAAAAAAAGAAAAUAAAAAAGAGGGCAUGAUGAUGGAUGGACGGCAGAGCUUUGGUCAAAGGCUGCCGGAGGAUCUGAGCCUGUGGAGGAGAAAGAGAAAUGUCAGUGUCAGACAUUCUUUCUUUCAAUUGGUAAGCCCAUUGUUUGCAAAUCUUAAAAUUCUUAUGUGCAUAAAUAAAAAUACAAUACAAAUAUUUAUUUAAAAUAUAAAAAUAAUAAAAAAAUAAAAUAAUUAACUCUAAUCUCAAUGAGAAGAUUGAUUGGUUGGUUGGUUGAAAUGUCUUCCUUCCUAUCAUGAAUUUCAUCUAUUUGUUUUGAGAAUUUUAGAACAUUAAUUCAAAAUUGAAAUUAUCAUAUUUGAGAAUGUUGAUAUUAGGAUGUGAUCUUGAAAAUUGUUCUUUUAUUCAUAAAGUCUAUUUAAUAAUAAUUACAAAGUUUUGUUUUAUUUUUCCUAAUAAAAGAUCCAAAUCAUAACUUCAAUUGUUUUUUUCUUAGAUAUUUGGUUGAGUGAAUAAAGAAUAUGACAGUGAUUAGGAUUGGUAAUCUAAAUCUUAUUUUGUUUUUUUUUUUCUUUAGGAAUAAAAUCUUAAUUUAAUAUUUGAUUGAAUAUAAAUUUAAUUAUAACGUGGAAAUUUUCAAAAUAAAUGUUUUUAAUCAAAUUAGAAAUUUCAUUAAAAAGUUAAAAUAAAUUGUAUGUGAAAUACAGAUCAAUAUGUUUUUAUAUUUUUAUAUAGAAAGUCUAAUAAUAAAUUACUUAUACAAAAACUAAAAAAAAUACAAUCUUGAUUUGAAGUAUCUGAUUGAGCUGACAGAGCAUAAUAUUUGCAUAAUAUGUGAUCGGUUGUUCCAUGAUCAUUCUACAGUCCGAUAUGAUCACUUUCAAAUUUAUUUCUUCUAUUAAAAAGAAGAUUUACAUUUUUUCUGCAUAACCGUUCAAAUAACAAAAUACCCUAAACUGAAUAUUAAACUAUAUAAAUUACAACUCAACUAUUAUAUUAACCUAUCAUUAUCCUUGAUAUAUAAUUUAUUUUAUAUAUAAAUGAUGAAAGCCUGUAUUAUCUCAAACUUCAAUAUUAUUGUAUUAGACUAGGAAAAUAUAUAAAUGGAUAGAGGAAUAGAAAUGCUAUGUUUUGUCAUAGACAAUUCGGUAGGUGGUGAAAUAGAAAUAUAGAAUUGAUUGACUAGUCCUUAAAGAAUAGGGGACCCCACAAGGAGGGGACCUAAUUAAAUUCUAUGGAGAUAGAGAAUUUGUCAAUUAUUAAUUGGAGGUCCUUAUCAGGAAAAUGAAAUUUGAUUAUUCCAAUGCCAAAAAUAGAUUUUGAGGGACAUAUUUGCUAUGUUCACUCCAAACUGAGGCACAUGGUCUUUGUAUUUAUUAGAAGUUAUAUUUUCAUUAAAAUACAUAAAGUGGAUUCACAUGAAUUAAGAUAAAUAAAUAAAUAAAUAAAUAAAGUUAAAAGCCAAUGGUCAUCAAGUGACCCAAUUACAGGAGUCACUGAAACAAGUAAAGCUGACAGCAGACAAAACAGACAAAACCAACUAAUUUCAAUCUUAUGUCCCUUAAAAUAUCAUAGACCAAGUGACUGUUAUUUUUUUUUCCUAAAAAAAUUAUUUCAAGAAAAAUAAAAUUAUUUUCAAUACAAAUAAAUUUUAAAAAGGUUGAAUUUUAGAAAAAAAAUUGAAUAAUGAGCAACCCACAAAGUGCAUUUUUCUUGCUUUUUGUAGAGACUAUCUCCUCGUUACAAAUGAGCAAUUUUAUCAUUACAUUAUUACAUUACAAAUGGAGAAAUAUUUUCUGUUUAUAAAUAUAGUUAUUUGAGAUAGUAUUUUUAUGCACAAAUAUUUAUCGCUUUUGAAUAUUAAGAAAUAAUAUUCUUUUCUUAAUUAACAAUCAGUAAUUUGGUCAAAAUAACGAACAGUUUAAAUAAUUUUUUAAAAAAUUAUUUUCUUAAUUAAAGUGUAAAAAACUUAAAUGACAUAUAUUUAUAGACGGAGGGACUACUUAAUUAUUAACAUAUUAACAAAUUUAUAAUUAGUAAUAAUUCAAUAAUUUCGCAAGACAUUUUACCAUAAAAUUUUGUUUGAUAUUUUUAUUAUUCUUUAAUAGUAAUAAAACACUAAAAAACUUUACUAAAUUAAACAAUAUGAUCCAUAGAUUUUAAUUUUACUAAAAGUAUUUGCAGUAAUUUUUUAAAUUAACCUGAGUAAAAUUUAGGUUGAGUCCAAAUUGGUAGACCGAGUCAAAAAGGCCACAACACAAAGUGCUUGAAAGUUGGUGCACAAAACAAAAGGGAAAAAGAAACUGAAAAGCAAAACCUUGGUCUUAAAGGAUCGCUAAAGACAGAAAUGCCACUUCUAAAAUAAAAUAGUACACAACUGUUAACAGGAUAUACAAGAGCCCACAAAAUUACAAUAAGAUCAGAUGUACUUCAACUCCAUCAUUGUAUAAUGGAUCAUCACUAUCAUGUCCGCGAUACUAUUAAAAUUUUUACAUUCAUGGGACGGGACCAAGAAAAUUAAAGGGGCGGCCGGCCGGCGGUAGUUCCACCAUUGAUGACAUUAAUUCGCUAAUUACUGUCGAUCGAUUUAGAAUUUAAUUUUCAAGGAACAUAAUGAAGAAAAUUGAAUAAGUUAAAGGUUGACACUAAGUACGGAUGUACAAGAAAAUUGCUAUAACAGUUUAUAGCUCAGCAAAAUCGAAGCAGUGAAGGUGGUGAAAGUGGAGCAUGUGCAGUGGUUUGGAGUAUGAGAAGCAGUGAAAACUGAAAGGUAUAAGAAAUUGAAAUUGUGAAAGUUUAUUUUCCCUAAGACUUAUUUUUAAUAUUUUAAUAACAGGCCUGGGUUAAUAUUCAAAUAAAAAUAAUAAUAAUGUAAAAUGAAUUAACUUUAUGUCAGGAAUAUGAAAACAUACUCCUAUGGCCUAUUUUACAAAACUCAGAGAAUAAGGCUAGCUAUCUGCAAUAUAUCACAUAAACACAAGCACAAACAAGAAACAUACUCUUAUAAAAAAUUUCAAACUUGGAAACUUCCUUUGUUUUUCUUUCUUUCUUUAUUCAGAUUACCCGAUUAACAUUGCAUAUAAGAACUGAAACAGCUGUUUAUCUUAUUAACAUCGCACAUAAGAACUGAGACAACUGUUUAUUAUAUUUAACAGUACCGGUCCCCAUAAAUUUAAAAAAGAAAAUUGCCCAAAGCACAGAACAAACAACUCAUUUUAAUACAUAGAACCAAUGAAUAAGAUGCAAUAAUAAAGUGGGCUGCAGCAAUAUAGACUUACUUUUGAGAGAACUUCUGAGUACACCAGGAAUCGUGAUUUCCCAAAAUAACAGCUUUAGGAAAUUUAAGAUCUGCAACACUUUGGACGAGCUCUACAUUCUCAUUACCAAAAUCACCUAAACAAGGCCCAAGGAGAUGGGAGGACAAGAAAACAUAACAAAAGGCCAAAAAGUCUAAUAGGUUAGAUUUACAUUUUACUAGUAAUGUUGCAAACGCAUACUCAGAAUGACUGGUCAUGGUACAUAUAAGGCUGAUUUUCAUAAUUCUCAUGAACAUGCAUAUAGUGCAUCUGCAUGCACUAUAUGUCAAUAUGAACUGAAAAUUGUUGGUGUCCCACAUGGAACCAGAUCCCUUUUAAAUAUUUCCUUGAUAUUUGGCUUGUCAGUGAAGACAGUCAAAAAGGGUUGUGAAGGCACCGUGUAUGAAUUAAAUGAGGACCAGCCAAAGACACCGUACAGGUAAAAGGUGAUUGAGAAGAAAACCUGCCUGUAAACAGCACCAAAUCCAGCUGCAUAAUGCAACAUAUAUUAGGUAGGUAGAGGAUAGCUAUGCACAAAAAUAAUAGGAAAUGCUCACGGAAAUCUGAAAGAAAAUUGAGAGAAAAAAAAAAUGGAUGCUUAAAGGCAACAACACCAAGCUAUAAAGAGUUUGUUGACCCUCAACAACUUAAUCUUACAUAGAAUUUUUACUAAAAUCAAUUUUUAGAAUUCUGAAAUGAAUCUCAAGAUGGACUCCCAAAGUUAGCUAAACUCAAAUAGGCACUACAAAAAGCUUGAAUAGUCCAUGGCCCAAAUAAGCACAUAGCAACCUCAACUUAAACUCAAUCUCAGUCCUGCUUAUUAGCAUCCUUAAUGCAGGAUUGUUCACCUGUGUUACAUUUUUCCUACACCAAUAUUUUUAAAUAUGAAAUGUAUGCAUAUGUGAGUGUCUUUAGUUCCAGCAGAAACUAUCCUUCAAUGCAGAAAAAGAGAAACACAAGAAAAGGGGCACUAUGAUGAGCAUCAACUUAAUUAAGGGUGUCUUUUGCAUGCCAAAGUUUAGUGGUUUUAACUGAUACAGACAACCCAAUAUAAUGUCGGCAUAACCACCUGUGUCUCUUGAUUGCAAUUGGGAGACGCAAUGGUUGGCACCAGCCUCAAGCUCAUAGAAACGCUACAUUGAAAUUCUGUUCUUUCAAUGUGGGAUCCAAGUCCCAUAAAUUAUAAUUGGGAUAAUAACAUCAUCUUUUUCUUCUCUUGGAUCCUUGGAUCCAUGGAUCAGGCCCACCAAAGUACGGCCAUCCAUUAUCGUCUUUGUCUAUUUCUCAUGACUCCCAAAUUCAUGUUCAACGAUGCCAUCUAAAUUCACUUUCCAUAGAUAUAUUGCAUUUUGGCCCAUUAAUGAACCCAAAAACUCUGCAAAACCUCUACAGAACACCUAAAAUGAAUUGUGACAGAUGACUCCUAUUUUCACAUUACAAAUCCCAAAAUCAGUGCAGAUGUUUUCUCCUCAAUUACAAGGAAAAUUACUUUUUAGUUAUGAACACGAAUAUAUAGAAUUAUAGAGUAAUAAACGCCCAUCCCCCCGACAGACACACACACACAAAAAGCGAAGAGAAGUACCUGCAGAAGUUGAAGAGCCUUUGUAUCCUCUUCCAGAUUCCAAUCAUCAUGCUUCAAAAAAACCCCAGAAUUUUCAAACAAAGCAACAUAAUUUGCUGAAUAAAAAUUUUCCAAAAAUGAAAUGAUUCCACAAUUAAAACUUAUAUUAAUCAAUUGCUAACCACACCAACAAAACCAAAGAUAGGGUUUCCAAGUUGAAAACGGAACACAUGCUUCGAAGAGCAAAUAAAUGCGAGAGAGAGAAACUCACUACGUCUCCGACGACAGCUACUCGAGCCGACGCCGACAUUGAAGAGCAAUCGGUGGUUCGCUUAGAGGAAAGGAAGGGGCGAGUAUGAGAACUGGACAAAAAGCACGGAAAGGGCGCGUGAAGAAACGCGCUUAAGUUUGACAUAACAUAACCUUCGCUUCCAAUUUCGCGCGCUAUUUUUACUGGCAAAUACUAGAGUAGGUGGAACUUUAAGCCGUUAAACUAAUACUAUUGCUGUCCACGUCACUGCCGUUCCGUGUAAUUAUUAUUUUUUUAUUUUUAUAAAUUUUUGGGAGUUGAAUUCAUUUCGAAGCUAAAACUUAUUUGAGUUUUAAUUUAAUUUAUUUCAACAAAAAAGAUUUAAAUUUUUAAUAUAAUUUUUUUUAUGAUUAAUAUAAUAGUUAGAAGUGUUUUCAAACUAAUUUAUGAGCACUGCGAUUAAAUUUUCUUUAAAUAUUUUAAUUUUAAUUGAGUUGAAUUCAAUAAUGGAAAUUAGAAAUCAAUUUUUACCAUGUGAAUUAGAAAAUACUGCCAAAUGUCAAUCUCAAGCUAUGACUCAUUUUUCAAAAUUAAAUGGCAAUUUUUCAGAGCAUGUGAUAUCAAAGCAUUUUGCAGCAUCCUUACUGUUUCCUAAGUCAAUUUUUCAUCUUCUGUUAUUGUAACACGUCAAAAUGUCAAUAUGAAGCUGAAAUAUCUCAACCCAAAUUUCUCUAAGCUACAUCCAAGAUUUUUCCCUAAUUUAAUAUGUCUAUACAAAGAUUUUUCUCUAAGCUGAAAUAUCAAAUUUCUCUAAUUUGAUAUAUCUAAUUUUUACAUUUUACAUUAUUUUUACAUUGUUUGAUAUAUGAUUUUUCAAGUUGGAAGAUUACGUAUGGAAAAAUUAUAUCUAAAAUAUAUCUGUCAAAUAUCUGACCUAUCCAAUUCUCUCAUUUAAAUAUUUUACCAAAAAAAAAAAAAAAAAAAAAAAAAAGUUACGUGUCAGAAGACUCAAGAACUUUUCUUCAUUAAGAACCUUACAAGAACCUAAAUUCUCAGGCACAAAUUAACAGCUAAUAAGCAUAAGCUCUUUCUUUCUUCUUUCAUGGCUAUCAAAACCACCGUUGCCCUCCUAAUAUUUCUAAUCACUCUCAAUUUUCAUUUCUUGGGGGCAAAAGAUUGGAUCAAAGCAGCCUACUAUGAUUCCUCGAGUAACCUCCCUGCAUCUGAAGUAAAUUCUGCUCUUUUCACUCACAUUUUCUAUGCUUUUGCUGCUAUAAACACUUCCACUUACCAGCUUUCGUUCCCCUUCUCUACUGAAUCAUCUCUCUCGACUUUCACAGUUAACAUUAAACGAAAUAACCCAUCUGUCAUUCCAGUUCUGUCAAUAGGACUCGCAUAUAGAGACUAUUCAACAUUUUCUUCCAUGGUUAGCAAACCUUCUUAUAGGAAGUCUUUUAUCAAGUCUUCAAUGAAAAAAGCCAGGUUUCACGGAUUUGGUGGCCUGGACCUCUGUUGGCUUUGGCCUAACACAACAUCCGACAUGGAAAAUAUUGGAGUUCUUUUAGAUGAAUGGCGUGAAGCUAUAAAUUUUGAGUCAAGAAACAGCAAUGGUACUUCUGAGCCAAAACUUAUCCUGACAAUGGCUAUUUAUCGCCAGCCAACUAUUGCCAAUACGAGUUUCCCAGUUGAAUCCAUGCAAAGAAACUUGGAUUGGGCAAAUCUUGUAGCCUAUGAUUAUCAUUUGCCUUUAAAAGAGAAUAUUACAGGUAAUCAUGCAGCUUUAUUUGAUCCUUUAGGUCAUAUUAGUACUGAUUCUGGUAUAAAGGGAUGGUUAAGGAGAGGAUUGACAUCAGAAAAGCUGGUUUUGGGUUUGCCUUAUCAUGGCUAUGCAUGGAAAUUAGUGAACUCAAAUGACAAGUACUCCAUUGGUGCACUAGCAUCAGGACAAGAGGUUACAAAGGAUGGUUCAAUAGGCUACAAGUUGAUCAAAUCUGUAAUCCGUGAUUAUGGCUAUGGAGCCAUUUCAAGCUACAAUGCUACAUAUGUAGUUAACUACUUUAGAAUCAAAUCAAUUUGGAUCAAUUUCGAUGACGUUGAGGCUAUUCAGACUAAAAUUUUAUAUGCCAAGACAAAGGGAUUGCUUGGGUACAAUGCUUUUCAGCUUGGAAACGAUGAUGAUAACUGGGAGCUUUCUCGAGCUGGUAUGGAAAUUGUUCAUCUAUUACCUAAGUUCUGUUUGAUACUUUUUGUUGAGAAAAGUAAUCAUAAAAGCUUGAAAGCAGCUAAAUAAUACUCUCCAACUACUUUUUCUAACAGCAUAAAAAAUUUUAUUUUUCUGAAGAAAUAGUUGCAAUCUGUAUGCCAGACAAUCGUAUAUAUAAUUAUAUGCACUGGAAUGAGGUAUUUAAAUAAUUUCUGUAAGUUGUUUUGUGUAUCUUUCUAAUACCUGGAAUAAAUUGGCAGCUUAUGAGGUUGGUGAAGUUCAUGAAAGGAAAAAGCAUUUAUGGAUUAGAGUUUCAAUCCCAAUUGCAAUUAUUACUCUGCUGAUCCUACUUGGGUUUCUAUCAUAUUAUAUAAAAAGCAGAAAACUUGAAUCAAAAGGUAAAGAUUUUCUUAUUUUUGCCUACUUAGACUCCAUUGUUUUGCUUUCUUUAGAAAUAGGUAAAUAUCUAUGAACAUGAUUCUUGACAGCAUUUGGAUUCUCUCUGUGUUUUAUGUUUCAGGGAAACUGAGUUUUGGUGAUACAGCAGUUGAUGAAUAUCAGUACCAAAAUGCUCCAAAUUUGCAAAUAUUCAAGUUUUCUGAAAUCAAAGCAGCUACAGGCAACUUUUCAUGCGAAAAUAGGCUUGGAGAGGGUGGAUAUGGACCUGUUUACAAGGUGAAUUUCAACAAAUCCUUCAUUUUAUGUGCUUCUUAUAAGGUUAAUAAAACUAGUAACUAUAUAUAUGUAUAUAAAAAUGAACUUGGAAUGAAUAUAUUCAAAUUGCUAUGUAUUUGAAUCAUUGGGUGUAAGAAAAUUCCAUAUUGACUAUUUUGUUGGGCUUCGUCAGGGUAAACUUGCAAAGGGAGGGGAAAUAGCAGUGAAAAGGCUUUCAAAAACUUCACAUCAAGGAUUUAAGGAGUUCAUGAACGAAGUUAAACUUACAGCAAAGCUGCAACAUGUUAAUCUAAUAAGGCUUUUGGGAUUUUGCACUGAUAGAGGAGAGAAAAUGUUGAUAUAUGAGUACAUGCCUAACAAAAGCUUGGAUUUCUAUUUGUUUGGUAAAUGAUAUAUUAUUUAUUUCCCUAUUUGGUUCUCUCUCCAGAUUAGAAAUAAUAAAAGAAGCUUAGGCUCGUAACUCUGUUUUUGAUGCAGAUCAAAAGAGAAGAUUGGAAUUGAAUUUGGAACGACGCGUUCAUAUCAUUGAAGGGAUUGCUCAAGGGCUUAUGUACCUUCAAGAAUACUCAAAUUUGACAAUAAUUCAUAGAGAUAUUAAAGCUAGCAACAUUUUACUAGACAAUGAGAUGAAGCCAAAGAUUUCUGAUUUUGGUAUGGCGAGAAUUUUGCAGAAGGAGAGCAAUGAAGCCAACACAGGCCAGAUUGUUGGGACAUAGUAAGUAAAUUGCUUCUUGAAAAGCAAUGUAUUUCAUACCAUCUAACAAAUACAUACAUACUUAUAUAUACAUAUAUGUGUGUGUGUGUGUGUGUGUGUGUGGCUUAAUGAUCUCAUUUAUUCAUGAAAAAUUGCAGUGGCUACGUACCUCCUGAAUAUGUGAAAAGAGGUACCUACUCCAUGAAGUAUGAUGUUUAUAGCUUUGGAGUUUUGCUUCUGCAAAUCAUAAGUGGGAAGAGAAACACAUGUUUUUAUGGUUCAAGUGAAAAUCUAAACCUUCAGGAAUAUGUAAGUCACCUUCUUUACACUUGCUUUGACAUAUUAGGCAAUUGGUGUAUUGAUCUUGUUUCGCGCAUUGCAGGCGUACGAAUUGUGGAAAGAAAAGGGCGGUGAGGAAUUUAUAGAUCCAACAUUAGAUGAUAAAUGUUCUUCCUGUAAGCUCUUGAGAUACCUGCAAGUAGCCCUGCUAUGCGUGCAAGAAAGUCCAUUGGAUAGACCUUCAAUCUUGGAAGUUUAUUCCAUGCUGAAAAACGAAAAUGAUGCUAUUGCUCGUCCUAAAAGACCUGCAUUUUCUGUCCUGAAUUGUGAAGACGAAGAAAAUAGACACACACCAGGUCAAGAAAUUUGUUCAGUCAAUGAUGUGUCCAUUACCGAAAUGUUGCCCAGAUAACAUAGCUUUGUCUUUUUCAAAUGAAAUUGUAUAAACAGGCAUACAAUUGCAUUUUAGAGUAAACAAUUUCUAAUCCAUGGAUGCUAACAUUGCAAUAUGUUAAAACAUCACCUAUUAAUUGACAUUUUAUUCCCUUUUUCAUUCUAAUUAACCCCUUCAUUUGCAUUUAGCAAACAUUAGUAUUUAAUUAAGAUGAUUUUUUAUCAUUAAAUAAUAGAAAUACAAACUAAUGAUAUCCAAUGGAAUUAUAAUUAAUAACCACUAAAUAAUGAAAUUACAGUAAUGUGACUAACUAAUUGAAUUGAAAUAUAAUACCAAUUUAUUAAAAUUUUGCCUUAUAAUUAAAUCUUUUUGUAUUUUAUUUAAUUAUAAAAAAUUAACAAAUUAAUAAACGUUUCAAUUGAAAAUAUGAAGUUUCAAAAAGAAGAAAGUAAAAAGGACAUAAUUUAUUUUAUAAACAUUUCAAAUAUUUCAAUCUAUUAAUUAAAAAUUUCAAUUUAUUACUUGAAAAUUUCUAAACGGAUGUAAUUUCACAUUUUAUCAUUUAAUUAAAAUAAAUUAUUUAAAUUAAAUCAACAACAGUUUUCUAAAAACAUUUAUCCUUCAAAUUGUUUUAAAAAAAUAUACAAUUACACAAUAUGCCAACCAGAAUUAUAUAAACAUACUACUACCAGUAAUAAACUCAAAACUCUAUUAAUCUGGAGGCGUGGAUUCAGUUGUUUACAACCAAAAGAAGGGCCAAAAAGAAAUUAUUAACAUUUUUCUCCAAUUAAUCACUAAGAUUUUUUCAAUAAAAAAAAGGGAAAAAGAAAACAUUUGUAAAAAGAAAAUCCAGACCAAGAAACGUUUUGAGUCGAGGCUCAGAUUUUAUUGUGUCAAUCAGGAAGGUGAACAGAGCUAUGGCUGCAACAAAGAAACUAAGUGGGAGUGAGAGAGUUGGAGCCAAUAUAAAUAAAUAAAUAAAUAAACAAAGGGAAAGUAAUUAUUUAGUCCAUGAGGUUCGAAGCAAACAUUGUGCAGCCAAAAACGCUAUUACCCUUUUGAGUGUCUGAUUUCGCUGAUCAGAAACAUCAUCACUGCCUCAAAAACACAAAGAUAGAUAGGAACAUUUUGGUCAUUGUACAAAUUUUCCUGCGAAACAAACAAGGCUUGAAGAGAAAGAUAAAAAGAAAAGGAGGCUCAGAUCAGAUAUCCAAAGAAUUGGACAAGAAAGAAACACCAUUAAACCAUAACUGCAAUUAAGGAAUGACAGAAAUUGAGAGAAACCUCUUUUGGCUUAUUUCCAAAGAUUGCCCCGCCAAGAUAAAUGGUUAUUUAUAUCUAAUCCUGAUUUUUGAUUACUGAUAUAUCAUCAUAGCCUCAUCAAAUAGACAUUAUGUAUAUUAUCUAUGUUGCAUGGAAACGCAGGAACGGAAACGGACAACAUAUGAGAAAUAUCCAGUUUAUAGAAAUGUAUUUUCGAGAGGGGAACAGAGCUUCCAAAUUGCCCCGAGGAGUUUCCAAACAUUUCCGUGCGACAUAGUAUAUUAUAUAUAGAUAGACAGAAUGCAGAGGAAGUUGAUUAAUUAAUUAAUUAAUUUUGUUUAAUGGCUGUUGCCAACAUAAAAAAAAAUGAAAUCAUCGACUUAGCUAACAAUCUAACAGGAGGAGUCAACCACCCUGAAACCUGCCGCCCGCCUGAGAGCAAAGCCUCAUUCCCAAAUUAAUGAGAUACAAGUUUCCAAUGAACCAAACAAGGAGAGAAAGAAACCAAGGGAUUUGGUAAAUCACAAGGCCCCAUUUACAAAAUGACAUUUCAAAUGAAUUUUCAUUUGCACCAAACAUGAAAGUCUAGAUUUGUAAAUGAAUUCAUUUAAAAUUUUGUAGAAUUCAUUUAAACCAAGAGAGACGACGGAUGGAAAUAAACCACACUCAUACUGGUUAAGUUACUCCCACUGCCAAAAUUGACAGACAAGCACAAGGACAUCUGGGAAAUAAACUCUAACCUGCCUUGAGAGGUAGGCUCAGAUUCGCCUUUGGUCAGACAGAAAAGAGAACAACAUGACCAUGGCUGCAACAAAAACAGGGGAAAAUCAAAGCUCAAAGUUGCCUAGCCAAAGCUCUGUUCCUUACAACGUCUGUUUUCCACUAAAAAAAAUCAUCACAGCCUCAUAAAAAGGAAAAAUUUCAGCAAACCAAACAGAUACUUAACAGAGAUAGAGAAAUCUGAAGAAAGACAAGGUUCAGAUCAGAUAUGCCUUUGAAUCAGACAAGAAAGAAACAAUGGCAUCACUAUGGCUGCAGCUCGCAAAGGCUGCCCCGCCAAGAAUGCUUCAGUUCUCUCGAAUCUGAUCUUUUGGGUCACUGAAUAUAUCAUCACAGUCUUAUUAUUAUUAUUAUUACUACUACUAUUAUUAUUAUUAUUGUUGUUGUUGCAUAUAUAUAUAUAUAUAUAUAUAUAUAGAGAGAGAGAGAGAGAGAGAGAGAGAGAGAGAGAUGUUUUAUUUUCCUUUUUCUUUCUUUACCUUUUCUUCCUUUUGGGGCUGUUGGUAAUCUAAGAAGUGAAAAAUCACAGGCUCCGCUACCGAUCAGAGAGGCGGAAGUCAACCACCCGGAAACCAUCCAUAUCUCUCUGAGAGCAAAACCUCAUUCUCAGCUGGAAUUUCCCCUACCAAAGAGAGAAAUACCUAGCUCUUCUCAUCUUUUCAUUUCAAAUUCUCUAUUUAUGGCGAUAUCACCUUGAUUUGAUUAUUCCAUGCUUAGCCUUCCUUUGUGCUGUAUUUUGUGGAAAACUGAGGGGUAUUAUUGCCAAUCUAUUAUCAUUAUUGCGAUUGGUAAAAAGGGAAUCAAAUGGAGGUCAAUUUUGUAAUCACAAGAACCGAAGUACUCAUGUUCAUCUUUUUACGAGACCGCCACUGGCCUUGGUUAUACCCGUGUGCUUAAUGCGUGAGCGGGAGUAAUGGUUAUCGCUUUCUUGCACCAAAAUCGCGAAUAACAAUGCUCCUCUUUACACUUCUUUGAGGAUAAAUAUUAAAUUUAAUCCUUAAUAUUUAAUUAAUUAUAAAAAUUCUUUAAAUUUAGUCACUUUUAUUAAAAAAUUAAAAAUUAUCAUUUCUUUUAUUAAAAAUAUUAAAUGUUAAAAUGGAAAAAAAAAAAACUCAAAUAUAGAAUGGGAAUAAAUAGCUUUAUCUUUUCUUUUCAAACAAAUUUCAACCAAAAAAAAAAAAAAAAAAUUCAAUUAAAUAUUCUAUUAGUUUGAACUUAAAUUAUUAGAUCAGCUCAAGUCUGAUUAUUUUAAGUUUAACCGGAUAUCCAAUCAAGAAAUAAAAAAAUUAAUCAGUCCAAAUUGUCAAUUUCCCACUCUGUUAAGCUCAUACAGUUCACACGCAGUCCCAUUGCGGUCACUCGCCGCCGUUUGGUUCAAAGUUAUGGCCUCUUCCGGUUGCCCAUCACCGGCAGUUAUGAUCAUUGACUAAAAAAAAAAAAUUGAAAGUUCCAUAUGAGCUGAAUUAAAAAAGAACUGAUCGAGAAAAAAGCAAAAAGCUGAAACGAGAGGGAGAUAAUUAAGGAGGCGGCUCAGAUCCGGAUACUAUAUGAUGAGGCAAGAGAAAGGUGAAGCACUACCGCCAUGGCUGCGAGAACCGGUUGCCAGCGAAAAUGGUCGUUUUCAUCGGCCUCCCGGUUCGCCCCGCCGAUAAGAAGCGGGUACUUUCGCCAUUUGUUGCCUGAUUGGACACUCUGGAAAGGAACGUAUCAUCACAGCCUUAUAUGUAUGUGUUUGCAUCAGAAAGGGAAUGAUAAAGAAAAAGAAAAAGAAAAAAAAAAAAGAAAAGAAGAGAACACUUUGUAUGGAGAGAGAGAGAGANNNNNNNNNNNNNNNNNNNNNNNNNNNNNNNNNNNNNNNNNNNNNNNNNNNNNNNNNNNNNNNNNNNNNNNNNNNNNNNNNNNNNNNNNNNNNNNNNNNNNNNNNNNNNNNNNNNNNNNNNNNNNNNNNNNNNNNNNNNNNNNNNNNNNNNNNNNNNNNNNNNNNNNNNNNNNNNNNNNNNNNNNNNNNNNNNNNNNNNNNNNNNNNNNNNNNNNNNNNNNNNNNNNNNNNNNNNNNNNNNNNNNNNNNNNNNNNNNNNNNNNNNNNNNNNNNNNNNNNNNNNNNNNNNNNNNNNNNNNNNNNNNNNNNNNNNNNNNNNNNNNNNNNNNNNNNNNNNNNNNNNNNNNNNNNNNNNNNNNNNNNNNNNNNNNNNNNNNNNNNNNNNNNNNNNNNNNNNNNNNNNNNNNNNNNNNNNNNNNNNNNNNNNNNNNNNNNNNNNNNNNNNNNNNNNNNNNNNNNNNNNNNNNNNNNNNNNNNNNNNNNNNNNNNNNNNNNNNNNNNNNNNNNNNNNNNNNNNNNNNNNNNNNNNNNNNNNNNNNNNNNNNNNNNNNNNNNNNNNNNNNNNNNNNNNNNNNNNNNNNNNNNNNNNNNNNNNNNNNNNNNNNNNNNNNNNNNNNNNNNNNNNNNNNNNNNNNNNNNNNNNNNNNNNNNNNNNNNNNNNNNNNNNNNNNNNNNNNNNNNNNNNNNNNNNNNNNNNNNNNNNNNNNNNNNNNNNNNNNNNNNNNNNNNNNNNNNNNNNNNNNNNNNNNNNNNNNNNNNNNNNNNNNNNNNNNNNNNNNNNNNNNNNNNNNNNNNNNNNNNNNNNNNNNNNNNNNNNNNNNNNNNNNNNNNNNNNNNNNNNNNNNNNNAAAGUAGAAAUUCGAAAACAAUAAAUUUAUAAGGAAAAAAUUCCACAAAUGCAAAAAUAAACAAAAUCCUCUGGAAAUGGAAAAAAUUAUCAACUCCAUGAGCAAUUACACGCUUAUCUCUAUAUAUAUUCCAAUGCGUAAUCUUAACACCAUUAAUUGAAAAAUUAUCUAGAUCAUCAUAGUCAAAAUUAAUUUUAUGAACUAGAUUGCAAAUAUUCGAUUCAACAGAUUCUUUGAAAGUGAAUCCUGAAUUAAAAACCUGUUGAUCAACUUUUGCAAGAACAAUUUGAUGGGCGAGAUCAAUCUGGUCCUGCAAAUCAAGAAUAGCUUCAUUUCGAGCAGCAAAGAAGGUGAUAGAAACGUUUUUUCUUACGCUAUGGCUGAGAGGGUCGCGACGAGCUCUGCGCUGGGUGUAGCAUUGGGUUAUUAAAUUGAAACCUGAAGCUUCAAGUGCUUUUGCCAUUAAAAGGUUGAGUGAAUCAUUUUCUUUUCCACCGUACAAUUUUAGGGAAAGUAUAUUUUACAUCAGUUAAGGCUCCAGUUUUGAGGAAAAAGUCGGUUACAGUUCUGGGAUUACGUUGCUGUGAUGCUUAAGAUGAGGAGGAGGAAGAAGAGAAGAAUGGAUUGGAUUGCUAUGAUUGCAAUUGGGAGAAGCAAUGGUUGGCACCAGCAUCAAGUUCAUAGAAACCCUAGAUUGAAAUUCUGUACUUUCAAUGUGGGAUCCGAGUCCCAUAAAUUAUAAUUAGGAUAAAAACAUCCAAUCUUUUUCUUCUCUUGGAUCCAUGGAUCAGGCCCACCAAAGGACGGCCAUCCAUUACCGUCUUUGUCUAUUUCUCAUGACUCCCAAAUUCAUGUUCAACGAUGCCAUCUAAAUUCACUUUCCAUAGAUAUAUUGCAUUUUGGCCCAUUAAUGAACCCAAAAACUCUGCAAAACCUCUACAGAACACCUAAAAUGAAUUGUGACAGAUGACUCCUAUUUUCACAUUACAAAUCCCAAAAUCAGUGCAGAUGUUUUCUCCUCAAUUACAAGGAAAAUUACUUUUUAGUUAUGAACACGAAUAUAUUUACUUAUAGAGUAAUAAACGCCCAUCCCCCCAACAGGCACACAGACACACAGACACACACACACACACACACAAAAGCGAAGAGAAGUACCUGCAGAAGUUGAAGAGCCUUUGUAUCCUCUUCUAGAUUCCAAUCAUCAUGCUUCAAAAAAACCCCAGAAUUUUCAAAAAAAGAAACAUAAUUUGCUGAAUAAAAAUUUUCCAAAAAUGAAAUGAUUCCACAAUUAAAACUUAUAUUAAUCAAUUGCUAACCACACCAACAAAACCAAAGAUAGGAUUUCCAAGUUGAAAACGGAACACAUGCUUCGAAGAGCAAAUAAAUGCGAGAGAGAGAAACUCACUACGUCUCCGACGACAGCUACUCGAGCCGACGCCGACAUUGAAGAGCAAUCGGUGGUUCGCUUAGAGGAAAGGAAGGGGCGAGUAUGAGCAAAAAGCACGGAGUGGGCGCGUGAAGAAACGCGCUCAAGCUUGACAUAACAUAACCUUCGCUUCCAAUUUGGCGCGCUAUUUUUACUGGCAAAUACUAGAGUAGGUGGAACUUUAAGCCGUUAAACUAACACUAUUGCUGUCCACGUCACUGCCGUUCCGUGUAAUUAUUAUUUUCUAAUUUUUAUAAAAUUUUGGGAGUUGAAUUCAUUUCGAAGCUAAAACUUAUUUGAGUUUUAAUUUAAUUUAUUUCAACAACAAAGAUUUAAAUUUUUAAUAUAAUUUUUUUUAUGCUUAAUAUAAUAGUUAGAAGUGUUUUCAAACUAAUUUAUGAGCACUGCGAUUAAAUUUUCUUUAAAUAUUUUAAUUUUAAUAAUGGAAAUUAGAAAUCAAUUUUUACCAUGUGAUUAGAAAUUAAAUGGUUCGAAAAUACUGUCAAAUGUCAAUCUCAAGCUAUCACUCAUUUUUCGAAAUUAAAUGGUAAUUUUUCAGAACAUGUGAUAUCAAAGCAUUUUGCAGCAUCCUUACUGUUUCCUAAGUCAAUUUUUCAUCUUCUGUUAUUGUAACACGUCAAAAUGUCAGUAUGAAGCUGAAAUAUCUCAACCCAAAUUUCUCUAAGCUACAUCCAAGAUUUUUCCCUAAUUUGAUAUGUCUACACAAAGAUUUUUCUCUAAGCUGAAAUAUCAAAUUUCUCUAAUUUGAUAUGUCUAAUUUUCACAUUGUUUGAUAUAUUAUUUUUCAAGUUGGAAGAUUACGUAUGGAAAAAUUAUAUCUAAAAUAUAUCUGUCAAAUAUCUGACCUAUCCAAUUCUCUCAUUUAAAUAUUUUACCAAAAAAAAAAAAAAAAAAAAAAAAGCAGUGUCACAAAAAUAGGUCUANNNNNNNNNNNNNNNNNNNNNNNNNNNNNNNNNNNNNNNNNNNNNNNNNNNNNNNNNNNNNNNNNNNNNNNNNNNNNNNNNNNNNNNNNNNNNNNNNNNNNNNNNNNNNNNNNNNNNNNNNNNNNNNNNNNNNNNNNNNNNNNNNNNNNNNNNNNNNNNNNNNNNNNNNNNNNNNNNNNNNNNNNNNNNNNNNNNNNNNNNNNNNNNNNNNNNNNNNNNNNNNNNNNNNNNCUACUAUGCUUCAGCAACUAACAUCCCUGCAUCUGAAGUAAAUUCUGCUCUUUUCACUCACAUUUUCUAUGCUUUUGCUGCUAUAAACAAUUCCACCUACCGGCUUUCCUUCCCCUUAUCUACUCAACCAACUCUCUACACUUUCACACGUAUCAUUAAACGUAAUAACCCAUCUAUCAUUCCAGUUCUGUCAAUAGGACUCGCAUAUGAAGACUAUUCUACAUUUUCUUGCAUGGUUAGCAAACCUUCUUAUAGGAAGUCUUUUAUCGAGUCUUCAAUGAAAAAUGCCAGGUUUCACGGAUUUGGUGGCCUGGACCUCUGUUGGCUUUGGCCUAACACAACAUCCGACAUGGAAAAUAUUGGAGUUCUUUUAGAUGAAUGGCGUGAAGCUAUAAAUUUUGAGUCAAGAAACAGCAAUGGUACUUCUGAGCCAAAACUUAUCCUGACAAUGGCUAUUUAUCGCCAGCCAACUAUUGCCAAUACGAGUUUCCCAGUUGAAUCCAUGCAAAGAAACUUGGAUUGGGCAAAUCUUGUAGCCUAUGAUUAUCAUUUGCCUUUAAAAGAGAAUAUUACAGGUAAUCAUGCAGCUUUAUUUGAUCCUUUAGGUCAUAUUAGUACUGAUUCUGGUAUAAAGGAAUGGUUAAGGAGAGGAUUGACAUCAGAAAAGCUGGUUUUGGGUUGGCCUUAUCAUGGCUAUGCAUGGAAAUUUGUGAACUCAAAUGACAAGUACUCCAUUGGUGCACUAGCAUCAGGACCAGAGAUUACAAUGGAUGGUUCAAUGGGCUACAAGUUGAUCAAAUCUGUAAUCCUUAAUUAUGGCUAUGGAGUCAUUUCAAGCUACAAUGCUACAUAUGUAGUUAACUACUUUAGCAACAAAUCAAUUUGGAUCAAUUUUGAUGAUGUUGAGGCUAUUCAGACUAAAAUUUUAUAUGCCAAGACAAGGGGAUUGCUUGGGUACAAUGCUUUUCAGCUCGCAAACGGUGAUAACUGGGAGCUUUCUCGAGCUGGUAUGGAAAUUGUUCAUCUAUUGUCUAAGUUCUGUUUGAUACUUUUUGUAAGAAAAGUAAUCAUAAAAACUUCAAAACAGCUAAAUAAUACUCUCCAACUACUUUUUCUAACAGCAUAAAAAAUUUUAUUUUUCUGAAGAAAUAGUUGCAAUCUCUAUGCCAGACACUCGCAUAUAUAUUUAUAUGCACUGGAAUGAGGUAUUUAAAUCAUUUCUGUAUGUUGUUUUGUGUAUCUUUCUAAUACCUGGAAUAAAUUGGCAGCUUAUGAGGUUGGUGAAGUUCAUGAAAGGAAAAAGCAUUUAUGGAUUAGAGUUUCAAUCCCAAUUGCAAUUAUUACUCUGCUGAUCCUACUUGGGUUUCUAUCAUAUUAUGUAAAAAGCAGAAAACUUGAAUCAAAAGGUAAAGAUUUUCUUAUUUUUGCCUACAUAGACUCCAUUGUUUUGCUUUCUUUGGAAAUAGGUAAAUAUCUAUGAACAUGAUUCUUGACAGCAUUUGGAUUCUCUGUGUUUUAUGUUUCAGGGAAACUGAGUUUUGGUGAUACAGCAGUUGAUGAAUAUCAGUACCAAAAUGCUCCAAAUUUGCAAAUAUUCAAGUUUUCUGAAAUCAAAGCAGCUACAGGCAACUUUUCAUGCGAAAAUAGGCUUGGAGAGGGUGGAUAUGGACCUGUUUACAAGGUGAAUUUCAACAAAUCCUUCAUUUUAUGUGCUUCUUAUAAGGUUAAUAAAACUAGUAACUAUAUAUAUGUAUAUAAAAAUGAACUUGGAAUGAAUAUAUUCAAAUUGCUAUGUAUUUGAAUCAUUGGGUGUAAGAAAAUUCCAUAUUGACUAUUUUGUUGGGCUUCGUCAGGGUAAACUUGCAAAGGGAGGGGAAAUAGCAGUGAAAAGGCUUUCAAAAACUUCACAUCAAGGAUUUAAGGAGUUCAUGAACGAAGUUAAACUUACAGCAAAGCUGCAACAUGUUAAUCUAAUAAGGCUUUUGGGAUUUUGCACUGAUAGAGGAGAAAAAAUGUUGAUAUAUGAGUACAUGCCUAACAAAAGCUUGGAUUUCUAUUUGUUUGGUAAGUGAUAUAUUAUUUAUUUCCCUAUUUGGUUCUCUCUCUAGAUUAGAAAUAAUAAAAGAAGCUUAGACUCGUAACUCUGUUUUUGAUGCAGAUCAAAACAGAAGAUUGGAAUUGAAUUUGGAACGACGCGUUCAUAUCAUUGAAGGGAUUGCUCAAGGGCUUAUGUACCUUCAAGAAUACUCAAAUUUGACAAUAAUUCAUAGAGAUAUUAAAGCUAGCAACAUUUUACUAGACAAUGAGAUGAAGCCAAAGAUUUCUGAUUUUGGUAUGGCGAGAAUUUUUCAGAAGGAGAGCAAUGAAGCCAACACAGGCCAGAUUGUUGGGACAUAGUAAGUAAAUUGCUUCUUGAAAAGCAAUGUAUUUCAUAUCAUCUAACAAAUACAUACAUACUUAUAUAUACAUAUAUAUAUGUGUGUGUGUGUGUGUGUGUGUGUGUGUGGGGUUUUAAGAUCUCAUUUAUUCAUGAAAAAUUGCAGUGGCUACGUACCUCCUGAAUAUGUGAAAAGAGGUACCUACUCCAUGAAGUAUGAUGUUUAUAGCUUUGGAGUUUUGCUUCUGCAAAUCAUAAGUGGGAAGAGAAACACAUGUUUUUAUGGUUCAAGUGAAAAUCUAAACCUUCAGGAAUAUGUAAGUCACCUUCUUUACACUUGCUUUGACAUAUUAGGCAAUUGGUGUAUUGAUCUUGUUUCGCGCAUUGCAGGCGUACGAAUUGUGGAAAGAAAAUGGCGGUGAGGAAUUUAUAGAUCCAACAUUAGAUGAUAAAUGUUCUUCCUGUAAGCUCUUGAGAUGCCUGCAAGUAGCCCUGCUAUGCGUGCAAGAAAGUCCAAUGGAUAGACCUUCAAUCUUGGAAGUUUAUUCCAUGCUGAAAAACGAAAAUGAUGCUAUUGCUCGUCCUAAAAGACCUGCAUUUUCUGUCCUGAAUUGUGAAGACGAAGAAAAUAGACACAUAUCAGGUCAAGAAAUUUGUUCAGUCAAUGAUGUGUCCAUUACCGAAAUGUUGCCCAGAUAACGUAGCUUUGCCUUUUUCAAAUGAAAUUGUAUAAACAGGCAUACAAUCGCAUUUUAGAGUAAACAAUUUCUAAUCCAUGGAUGCUAACAUUGCAAUAUAUUAAAACAUCACCUAUUAAUUGAUAUUUUAUUCCUUUUUUCAUUCUAAUUAACCCCUUCAUUUGCAUUUAGCAAACGUUAAUAUUUAAUAAACAUUGAUUUUUUAUCAUUAAAUAAUAGAAAUACAAACUAAUGAUAUCCAAUGGAAUUAAAAUUAAUAACCACUAAAUAAUGAAAUUACAGUAAUGUGAUUAACUGAUUGAAUUGAAAUAUAAUACCAAUUUAUUAAAAUUUUGCCUUAUAAUUAAAUCUUUUUAUAUUUUAUUUAAUUAUAAAAAAUUAACAAAUUAAUAAACAUUUCAAUUGAAUAUAUGAAGUUUCAAAAGUAAAAGGACAUAAUUUAAUUUAUAAAAUUUCAAAAUAUUUCAAUCUACUAAUUAAAAUUUUCAAUUUAUUACCUGAAAAUUUCAAAACGGAUGUAAUUUCACAUUUUAUCAUUUAAUUAAAAUAAAUUAUUUAAAUUAAAUCAACAACAAUUUUCUAAAAACAUUUAUCCUUCAAAUUGUUUAAAAAAUAUAUACAAUUACACAAUAUGCCAACGGAAAUUAAUAAACAUACUACCAAAAUCCGGAAUCAUGGAUUCAUUAGUUAACUACCAAAAUAAGGGCCAAAAAGAAAUCAUGAACAUUUUUCUCCAAUUAACCACUAAGAUUUUUUCAAUGAAAAAAAGGGAAAAAGAAAACAUUUGUAAAAAGAAAAUCCAGACAAAGAAACGUUUUGAGUCGAGGCUCAGAUUUUAUCGUGUCAAUCAGGAAGGUGACCAGAGCUAUGGCUGCAACAAAGAAACUAAGUGGUACUGAGAGAGUUGGAGCCAAAAUAAAUAAAUAAACAAAGGGAAAGUAAUUAUUUAGUCCAUGAGGUUCGAAGCAAACAUUGUGCAGCCAAAAACGUUAUUACCCUUUUGAGUGUCUGAUUUCGCUGAUCAGAAACAUCAUCACUGCCUCAAAAACACAAAGAUAGAUAGGAACAUUUUGGUCAUUGUACAAAUUUUCCUGUGAAACAAACAAGGCUUGAAGAGAAAGAUAAAAAGAAAAGGAGGCUCAGAUCAGAUAUCCAAAGAAUUGGACAAGAAAGAAACACCAUUAAACCAUGACUGCAAUUAAGGAAUGACAGAAAUUGAGAGAAACCUCAUUUUGCUUAUUUCCAAAGAUUGCCCCGCCAAGAUAAAUGGUUAUUUAUAUCUAAUCCUGAUUUUUGAUUACUGAUAUAUCAUCAUAGCCUCAUCAAAUAGACAUUAUGUAUAUUAUCUAUGUUGCAUGGAAACGCAGGAACGGAAACGGACAACAUAUGAGAAAUAUCCAGUUUAUAGAAAUGUAUUUUCGAGAGGGGAACAGUGCUUCCAAAUUGCCCAAUUUACAGAAAUUGCCCCGAGGAGUUUCCAAACAUUUCCGUGCAAGAUUGUAUUAUAGAUAGACAGAAUGCAGAGGAAGUUGAUUAAUUAAUUUAUUUAUUUUGUUUAAUGGCUGGUGCCAACAUAAAAAAAAAAAAGAAAUCAUCGACUUAUCUAACAAUCGGACAGGAGGAGUCAACCUCCCUGAAACCUGCCGCCUGCCUGAGAGCAAAGCCUCGUUCCCAAAUUAAUGAGAUACAAGUUUCCAAUGAACCAAACAAGGAGAGAAAGAAAGCAAGGGAUUUGGUAAAUCACAAGGCCCCAUUUGCAAAAUGAAUUUUCAAAUGAAUUUUCAUUUGCACCGAACAUGAAAGUCUAGAUUUGUAAAUGAAUUACUUAAAAUUUUGCAGAAUUCAUUUAAACCAAGAGGGACGACGGAUGGAAAUAUGCUACACUCAUACUGGUUAAGUUACUCCCACUGCCAAAAAUGACAGACAAGCACAAGUACAUCUGGGAAAUAAACUCUAACCUGCCUUUUUUGAGAGAGGUAGGCUCAGAUUCGCCUUUGGUCAGACAGAAAAGAGAACCACAUAACCAUGGCUGCAACAAAAACAGGGAAAAAUGAAAGCUCAAAGUUGCCAAGCCAAAGCUCUGUUCCUUACAACGUCUGUUUUCCACUAAAAAAAAAUCAUCACACCCUCAUAAAAAGGAAAAAUUUCAGCAAACCAAACAUAUACUUAACAGAGAUAGAGAAAUCUGAAGAAAGACAAGGCUCAGAUCAGAUAUGCCUUUGAAUCAGACAAGAAAGAAACAAUGGCAUCACUAUGGCUGCAACUCGCAAAGGCUGCCCCGCCAAGAAUGCUUAAUUUCCUCGAAUCUGAUCUUUUGGGUCACUGAAUAUAUCAUUAUUAUUAUUAUUAUUAUUAUUAUUAUUAUUAUUAUUAUUAUUAUUAUUAUUAUUAUUAUUAUGUUUUAUUUUCCUUCUUCUUUCUUUUCCUUUGGGGCUGUUAGUAAUCUAAGAAGUGAAAAAUCACAGGCUCCGCUACCGAUCAGAGAGGCGGAAGUCAACGACCCGGAAACCAUUCCAUAUCUCUCUGAGAGCAAAACCUCAUUCUCAGCUGGAAUUUCCCCUACCAAAGAGAGAAAUACCUAGCUCUUCUCAUCUUUUCAUUUCAAAUUCUCUAUUUAUGGCGAUAUCACCUUGAUUUGAUUAUUCCAUGCUUAGCCUUCCUUUGUGCUGUAUUUUGUAGAAAACUGAGGGGUAUUAUUGCCAAUCUAUUAUCAUUAUUGCGAUUGGUAAAAAGGGAAUCAAAUGGAGGUCAAUUUUGUAAUCACAAGAACCAAAGUACUCAUAUUCAUCUUUUUACGAGACCGCCACUGGCCUUGGUUAUACGCGUGUGCUUCAUGCGUGAGCGGGUGUAAUGGUUAUCGCUAUCUUGCACCAAAAAAAAAAAAAACAGAACAUCAAUUUUGCUCUCGCCAUCUCAAGAUUGUUUGUGUCUCCAUCUUGACUACAACCCUGGAUGCGCUGCAAACCGAUCACAAUGAAUAAUUAAAAUGAGCACAGAUACAAAGAAGAAUUGCUGUUUGUGGGUAUUACUGCAACUUUCUAGAUUGGGGUUGUUGGAUUCUCGAUUUUGAACAGGAUGUAAUUAUGGGUCUCGUUGAGUAACUUAUCACCUGGGAUGGUUAAUCUCUCUUGCGCUAUGCAUGUUGAUUUUCUUGCAAUUGCAUGUGCGCAGCUAUGUCAACUAGUUUCUUUCUUGUGAAAGUUCAGGAGGAAUCAUGAAUAUUCUUUGUUGGAACUGCCGAGGACUUGGUCACACUCGAGCAGUUAAUGCUCUUAAUGAUCUUAUUCGAUGCCAUAAACCAACGGUCACCUUUCUGUCUGAAACUUUAGUUGCUUUGAAUAAAAUUGAGCAGCUCCGUUGUAGACUUCAUUAUGAUUCCUGCUUUGCUGUGGAUGCUGUGGGACGCAGCGGUGGCUUAGCAAUCUUGUGGAAUUCUCAGGUUAAUUUAGAAAUUCUGCGUUAUUCUUUGCAUUUUAUUGAUAUGAAAAUUACGGAAGCUGCAGGUUUUACUUGGCGCCUCACUGGUUUUUAUGGCAUGCCGGAAAGACAUCGUAGGCAAAUUUCGUGGAAUGUCCUCCGAUCUUUAGCUAGGUUGGAAAAUCUCCCUUGGUUAAUUUGUGGCGACUUUAAUGACCUAAUGUUCGCUGAAGAAAAGAAAGGGCGUAAUCCUCAUCCUCCAUACUUACUACAGGGUUUCUCAGAUACUGUGGCUGAUUGUGGUCUGAUUGACUUGGGAAUGUCGGGGUAUCCUUUUACUUGGGCUCACGGCAGAGGUCAAAAUCGGGUAGAGGAAAGAUUGGACAGAGCUUUGGGAAAUAUUAUUUGGCAGAAUCAUUUUGCUAAUUAUCAGGUCCAGAACCUAGUCUCAAGUAAGUCUGAUCACUCNNNNNNNNNNNNNGUCUGAUGUGGAUUCUAUGGUUAGAGAGAGUUGGGCCAAUAAUGAUGGUGUUGAUGUAACGCGGAAGAUAAAGGUUUGUGGACAACGUCUACAGAGUUGGGGUAGGAGACUAAAGCUUCGGUUUAGGAAGGAUGCAAAGCAAUUGACAGUGCAACUUGAGAAUCUUCGGAUCAACGGUAAUAUUGAACAAUUUGAAGGUGUGCAGCGUAAGCUUGAUGAUGUUCUGUACCGUGAAGAGAUCUUCUGGUCCCAAAGAGCGAAAUCUCAUUGGCUGCAAUCAGGGGAUAUGAACUCUCGGUACUUCCAUGCCACUGCUAAAAAACGGAAGAAAUCAAAGCAGAUAUUUCGGUUGAAGGAUGCUAAUGGCGAGUGGAUAAGCGAUAGCACUAUGUUGACAGGUAUGGUGAGUGACUACUUUGUUAAUCUAUUUAAGGCAGGGAAUGCUGACUUAAGUCCUGUUGUGGGUUUAUUCUCUCCUCUGGUUUCGGAUAAUGAAAACUUUAUGCUUCUUAGAGAUAUUUCUGUGGACGAGGUUAAAUUGGUAGUGAAACAGAUGCACGCGGAUAAAAGCCCCGGAAUAGAUGGUCUAAAUCCUAGAUUCUAUCAGAGAUUCUGGGAUAUUGUGGGUCAUGAUGUUGUUCAGGGUUGUCGAGACUGGUUUAAUUCAGGUGUCUUUCCGGAUAAUCUCAACGAUACCUUAAUUGUGCUAAUUCCAAAAAUAGAAGACCCAGAGGCAGUGAAGGACUUUCGACCUAUUUCUCUUUGCAACGUAGUUUACAAAGUGUUUGCUAAGAUUCUGGCAAACAGGUUGAAGACCAUCCUACCUAAUCUUAUCUCACCAUCUCAGUCAACUUUUGUCCCGGGCCGGUUGAUUUCAGAUAAUGUGUUAGUUGCUUUUGAGCUAAUCCACUCUAUGAAAACACGAAUGACCGGUCAGCGAGGAGCUUCCACACUGAAAGUUGAUAUCUCUAAAGCCUAUGACAGAGUAAACUGGUGCUAUCUACGAGCUGUUAUGCAGGGUUUGGGUUUUCACGAGCGUUGGGUGGACUUGAUCAUGACGUGUGUCUCCUCUGUUAAAUACUGGGUUGGAGUGAACGGGGAUGAGAUUGGCCCGAUUAUUCCAGAACGUGGGUUGAGACAAGGUUGUCCAUUAUCUCCCUACUUAUUUAUACUCUGUGCUGAAGGACUGUCAAAGCUGUUUAGUAAGUCUGAAAAUGAAGGUCGCCUCACCGGCUGUAGAGUCUCGAGAGCUGCGCCCCGGUUAUCUCACUUGUUGUUUGCAGAUGAUAGUUUGUUCUUUUUCGAGGCAUCACGAAUUCAAGCUCUAGAGAUAAAAAAUAUCCUAGUUACUUAUGAAGCAGCUUCGGGUCAAGAGGUAAAUUGGCAAAAAUCCGGCAUUUUUUUCAGCUCUAACACUUCGGCAGUGGAUAAGGAUGCCGUGACAGGAGUUUUUGGUGUACUUGCUCCUUUGAACCACGGAAGGUACCUGGGCUUGCCCUCGUUAGUUGGUCGGGAAAAGAGGCGUAUCUUUUCUUUUUUGAAGNNNNNNNNNNNNNNNNNNNNNNNNNNNNNNNNNNNNNNNNNNNNNNNNNNNNNNNNNNNNNNNNNNNNNNNNNNNNNNNNNNNNNNNNNNNNNNNNNNNNNNNNNNNNNNNNNNNNNNNNNNNNNNNNNNNNNNNNNNNNNNNNNNNNNNNNNNNNNNNNNNNNNNNNNNNNNNNNNNNNNNNNNNNNNNNNNNNNNNNNNNNNNNNNNNNNNNNNNNNNNNNNNNNNNNNNNNNNNNNNNNNNNNNNNNNNNNNNNNNNNNNNNNNNNNNNNNNNNNNNNNNNNNNNNNNNNNNNNNNNNNNNNNNNNNNNNNNNNNNNNNNNNNNNNNNNNNNNNNNNNNNNNNNNNNNNNNNNNNNNNNNNNNNNNNNNNNNNNNNNNNNNNNNNNNNNNNNNNNNNNNNNNNNNNNNNNNNNNNNNNNNNNNNNNNNNNNNNNNNNNNNNNNNNNNNNNNNNNNNNNNNNNNNNNNNNNNNNNNNNNNNNNNNNNNNNNNNNNNNNNNNNNNNNNNNNNNNNNNNNNNNNNNNNNNNNNNNNNNNNNNNNNNNNNNNNNNNNNNNNNNNNNNNNNNNNNNNNNNNNNNNNNNNNNNNNNNNNNNNNNNNNNNNNNNNNNNNNNNNNNNNNNNNNNNNNNNNNNNNNNNNNNNNNNNNNNNNNNNNNNNNNNNNNNNNNNNNNNNNNNNNNNNNNNNNNNNNNNNNNNNNNNNNNNNNNNNNNNNNNNNNNNNNNNNNNNNNNNNNNNNNNNNNNNNNNNNNNNNNNNNNNNNNNNNNNNNNNNNNNNNNNNNNNNNNNNNNNNNNNNNNNNNNNNNNAAGAGAGUUUUAUCAUGUGUCUGUGGAGUGUUUGGCUGAGCCGUAAUGAACUAAAAUGGAACCAAGUGGAAGAAGGACCUUAUCAUGUGGUUACUCGAGCUAGAAGAAUAUUGGCAUCUUGGAAGAAAGCCCAGCUGAAGCUGUCAGGUUCGGAUACCGGCAUAGGUACCUCUGGAGGUAGUCAAUGGUUCCCGCCACCUACUGGUACUUUUAAAAUAAACUUUGAUGCCGCUCUUCUCCCCUCUGUCGGCCAUGGAGCUGUUGGUGCUGUAAUCUCAAACUGCCAUGGCGGGUUCGUUUCAGCAGCAACGUCAUCACUACAAGGCUGUUCUUCUCCAGCAGUAGCAGAAGCUCAGGCACUAAGAAAAGUAUUAUCAUGGGUGCUUUCCGGUCAUCCUAAUCUGACGAUUCAGGUUGAGACUGACUGUCUGCAAGUUUAUCAUGCUAUGAAAAGUUCUGCAAACGACUGGUCUGAGUUUGGCGUUGUCAUUUCUGAAUGUAAACUACUAUUAGUCCAAUUGCCUAGUGUCUCCUUGGCUUGGAUUAGAAGACAAGCAAAUGAUAUAGCUCAUGUGUUGGCUAAAUCAGUUCCUAGUGAGGCUUGCUUUCAAAUUUGGGAUGAUGCUCCCAAUUGUAUCGCUCAUUUCUUUCAUUAAUAAUAUGAAUCAUAAUUCAAAUGUCAAAAAAAAAAACAAUGCUCCUCUUUACACUUCUUUGAGGAUAAAUAUUAAAUUUAAUCCUUAACAUUUAAUUAAUUUAAAAAAUUCUAUAAAUUUAGUCACUUUUAUUAAAAAAUUAACAAUUUUUCCUGUCAAAAAACAAAAAAAUUAAAAAUUUUCUUUUCUUUUAUUAAAAAUAUUAAAUGUUAAAAUAGACAAAAAAAACUCAAAUAUAAAAUAGGAAUAAAUAGCUUUAUUUUUUCUUUUCAAACAAAUUUCAACAAAAAAAAAAAAAAAGAAUUUUCAAUUAAAUAUUCUAUUAGUUUGAACUUAAAUUAUUAGAUCAGCUCAAGUCUGAUUAUUUUAAGUUUGAUAUCCAAUCAAGAAAUAAAAAAAUUAAUCAGUCCAAAUUGUCAAUUUCCCAUUCUGUUAAAGCUCAUACAGUUCACACGCAGUCCCAUUGCGGUCACUCGCCGCCGUUUGGUUCGAAGUCAUGGCCUUUUCCGGUUGCCUAUCACCGGCAGUUAUGAUCAUUGACUCUAAAAAAAAAAAAAAUUGAAAGUUCCAAAUGAGCUGAAUUAAAAAAGAACUGAUCGAGAAAAAAGCAAAAAGCUGAAACGAGAGGGAGAUAAUUAAGGAGGAGGCUCAGAUCCGGAUACUAUAUGAUCAGGCAAGAGAAAGGUGAAGCACUACCGCCAUGGCUGCGACAACCGGUUGCCAGCGAAAAUGGUCGUUUUCAUCGGCCAUCCGGGUCGCCCCGCCGAUAAGAAGCGGGUACUUUCGCCAUUUGUUGCCUAAUUGGACACUCUGGAAAAGAACGUAUCAUCACAGCCUUAUAUGUAUGUGUCUGCAUCAGAAAGGGAAUGAUAAAGAAAAAGAAAAGAAGAGAACACUUUGUAUGGAGAGAGAGAGAGAUUGGACCGAUGAAAUCAUCGGCCCCGAUAAGAGCCUCAUUCGUUUUCCAGUCAGUGUCAAAACCCUAGGUUGGUCUCUGCUCUUUGUUUAGAGGGGGCUUGGUUUUCCAAUCUUCCGUUUUUGCCCUCUGGUGGUUGGCUUUGGGCUUCUGGCUUUUUAGUCGUUAAUGGAUAUUGGAUAUGGAAGGAAUCUUUUGAGUAAUUUUCGUACGAUUAAGUGCACGUCUCAGUUAAACUUAAUUGCAAUAUAUUAAUGAGAGGGUUUAAUUAAGUAUUAAGUCUUUGAACUUUUAUUUCUAUUAAAAUUAAGUCUUUAUUUUAUUUCUGCAACCAUGACAGUCAGUGGCCCGAACUAAAAAAAAUAAUUAGAGAGAGCAAAAAGAAAAUUUCAAAAUUGAGAGGUACGGUAUCAAAAGAAAUCAUUAUUUUAUAAAUAAAAAGUAAAAUUUUCUAUAUUUUAAAAGGUAAAUUUCAAAAAGAAAAAUUUAAAAUAAGGGGACAGCCGGCGGUAGCUCCACCACUGAUGACAUUGAAUAAAGUUCAAGGUUGACACUAAGUAUGGAUGUGCAAGAAAAUUGCUAUAACAGUUUAUAGCUCAGCAAAAUCGAAGCAUUGAAGGUGGUGAAAGUGGAGCAUGUGCGGUGGUUUGGAGUAUGAGAAGCAGUGAAAACUAAAAGGUAUAAGAAAUUGAAAUUGUGAAAGUUUAUUUUUCCCAAGUCCUAUUUUUAAUAUUUUAAUAACAGGCCUGAGUUAAUCGGGUCUGUGCGAAUUGAUCGGUUUAACAAUGGAUUAGCAGAAUUCAGUUCUUUCUUAUAUGGUUCAAAAGUAGACUCUGGUUUAUAAGGAAAAAAUUUGAAAUCAACGACAAAGUAGAAAUUCGAAAACAAUAAAUUUAUAAGGAAAAAAUUCCACAAAUGCAAAAAUAAACAAAAUCCUCUGGAAAUGGAAAAAAUUAUCAACUCCAUGAGCAAUUACACGCUUAUCUCUAUAUAUAUUCCAAUGCGUAAUCUUAACACCAUUAAUUGAAAAAUUAUCUAGAUCAUCAUAGUCAAAAUUAAUUUUAUGAACUAGAUUGGCUAGAAAGUAGAAAUUCGAAAACAAUAAAUUUAUAAGGAAAAAAUUCCACAAAUGCAAAAAUAAACAAAAUCCUCUGGAAAUGGAAAAAAUUAUCAACUCCAUGAGCAAUUACACGCUUAUCUCUAUAUAUAUUCCAAUGCGUAAUCUUAACACCAUUAAUUGAAAAAUUAUCUAGAUCAUCAUAGUCAAAAUUAAUUUUAUGAACUAGAUUGCAAAUAUUCGAUUCAACAGAUUCUUUGAAAGUGAAUCCUGAAUUAAAAACCUGUUGAUCAACUUUUGCAAGAACAAUUUGAUGGGCGAGAUCAAUCUGGUCCUGCAAAUCAAGAAUAGCUUCAUUUCGAGCAGCAAAGAAGGUGAUAGAAACGUUUUUUCUUACGCUAUGGCUGAGAGGGUCGCGACGAGCUCUGCGCUGGGUGUAGCAUUGGGUUAUUAAAUUGAAACCUGAAGCUUCAAGUGCUUUUGCCAUUAAAAGGUUGAGUGAAUCAUUUUCUUUUCCACCGUACAAUUUUAGGGAAAGUAUAUUUUACAUCAGUUAAGGCUCCAGUUUUGAGGAAAAAGUCGGUUACAGUUCUAGGAUUACGUUGCUGUGAUGCUUAAGAUGAGGAGGAGGAAGAAGAGAAGAAUGGAUUGGAUUGAAGCCAUUAAAAGAGAAACUGAAGAAGAAGAAGAAUAUAAACAAACUGAAUUGGCCACAUAAACAAACAGAGAAAUGGAGACAUUUGUUAAGUUAUUGACUGAAAAUCUUAAAACUUUUUCUUAGAAAAAAAAUCGAAAAUAAAAGGAAAUUAAAAAAUACAAGCACAAACGCGUAGCAGUUAACAAAUUUAUUUCCACUAAUUCUUUUGGAAUGGUAAAAAGAUGUAAAAUCUCUAAGGUCUCAAUUUGAGUGCAACUAUUUUUAUUCAUUCUAAUAAAACUUACUGUAACUUAUCAUCUGAAACUUUCUGUUAUGGACAUUGGCGCCCAGAGUGUCAUCCGCAUAGUGAAUUCUUUGACUGUACUUUUAACAAGGUUAUAUUAUAGGAGGUAAUGCUGUUACGGGAAUUAAAAUCUUCGAAAAAUUAACCCAAAGCGAUAAUUACUAAAUUAAUUCAUCACCAGUGGUAACCAUCUCCUUACUAUGAUCCCCACAUGCUAGUAUGGAUGAUCAAGCUACACAAGAUAUUCAUAGUUUAAAAGUUUGUUUAUUUCAUAGUUGAAGGUUAAAUGAGAGGUAAUGUUGUUAUGGGAAUUAAAACCUCCGAACAAUUUAUCUUUAAUAAACCAACAAAUUUGGGCGGAUAUGGAGUUAGAGGCCUACAGGUUAUAAAUGAUGCAGGAUUUGGAUGUGUUAAUCUCCAUUUUAAAAUUUUGUAUCCGGUCUAUUUGAAUUUGCUUCUUCUAAGUGGUGAUGAAAGCUGCGUCAAUGAAAACAUAACUCUAAUUCCUCAAUUCGGUAAUCAAUUCUUUUAUUGUAUUGGUAACAUGAUAAAUCCUCAUUACGGAUACAACGGAACAAUGUACUGGCACUACUAUAUGUAGUUCCAGUACAUUGCAUUCGUAUUGAGGAUCUAUCAUGUUACUAAUACAAUAAGAGAAUUGGUAACUAAAUGGAGGAAUUAAAGCUUAUGUCCUCAUAGCAGCACUAAUCAUCACUUGGAGGGAGAAGUCCAAAUACACUAAGUACAAAAACUUGGAGGGGAGGAUCAACCUUUUCAACACAUGCAAAUCCUACACCAUUUACAACCUACAGGUUUUUGAAUCCAUUUCUGCCCCAGUCUACUUGCGUUACUAAAGAUAAAUUUUUAGGAGGGUUUAAUUCCCAUAACAUCAUUAUAUCUCAUAUAACCUUGAACUAUGAAAAAAAAAAAAAAAAAAUGAGCUUUUGAACUAUGAACAUCUCGUGCAACUUGAUUGCUCGUACUAGCAUUUAGAUUGUAGUAAAGAGAUGAUAACAAAUGAUGAGAAUUAAUUUAGUAAUUAUGGAUUUGUGUUAAUUUGGUAAUGUCAGUGGUAAAAGUAAAUGUAAAAUUAAUGGUUAAUGUGAUGAAAACAAUCACUCAAAGAGAGAAAAUAAGUGUUAAGAAGAGCUUGACUAAAUUUCAUGUGAUUUAUGUAUAUAAUUGGACAUGUAAUGCUCUAUGUGAUCACAUUACAUGGAUGAAUUGUGCAGUUUAAAAAGCAAAACACUCACACUUUUGAGCAACCAAUUCUGAAUAUGCACAUUUCAAAUGCAAUACCUAAUUCAACUAAAAAAGGACAUUAUUAUUCGUAUGAUCAAAUUAGAAUAUUAUUGGUCAAUAUAAAUUAAUUGGUUACUUCAACAUUAACCUAAUUAAUUAAUUAAAAAAAAAUUUACGUGCUAUUCUUAUCAUCAUGUCAUUCAAUAACUUGUAAGAAAAAAAAUUCCAUAAAAAUGCAAAAAUAGACAAAAUAUUAUUAGAUUAUCAUGAAAAUCAAUUCUCUAGAAAUGAAAAAAAAGUUGUCAACUCCAUGAAUAAUUAUAUGAUCAUUUCUAUAUAUAUUACAAUCCGUAAUCUUAACACCAUUGAUUGAGUAAUUAUUUAAAUCAUGAUCGUCAAACUUAAGUUUAUUCACUCCAUUGCAAGGAACAAUUCAACAUAUCCACCAAAAAGAAUACCCAGAAUGGAAAACUUCUCGAUCAAUUUUAGCAUAAACAGUUUGAUAGGUAAGGUCAAUCUGGUCUUUAAAAUCAACAAUAGCUUCAUUUCGAGGAGCGAAAAUGGUGAUAGUAAGGUUGUCUGCACCAAGGCCGAGAUACUUAUGGUGAUCUCUUUGCUGAGUGCAGCAUUGAAUUAAAGGAUCUCUGGAUCAUUUUCGAUUGUUUUAAGUAUACGGGGGAGUCUGGGUUUAAACUGAGUUGGGACUCUAUAGAGAUAUGUUGGUGUGGAGCUUAAUAUGAGGAGAAAGAGAAGAAUGUAUUGAAUACAAGUCAUGCAGCUGAAUAAUAAUAAUAAUAAUAAUAAUAUUAUUAUUAUUAUUAUAUGUUUAUUUUGUUUACUGGGUUUUAUAAUUCUCAGACUCAUGGAAUUAGGAUUUGUGAUCAAAGACUCCCUAUUCGAUAUUCUAAAGGAUAUGCUGACGUUCAAUUGUCAAUUUAUAGAUAAUUUUAAAACUUUUUUUUUCCUUUUCAAAUAUAUAAUUGAUUUUCAGAAAUUUGUAUUAGUGGGAAUAAAACCCAUAAACUCAAGUGUACAUAAUUUGUUCACAGAAAUAAGUAAUGAUAACUAGUUAACAAGAAUCACAAUAAUGCAAUGAGAUUAAAACGAACAUGCAUUUUUUUUUUUUUUUUCUGUCAGUGGUAAGAGUUAUUUUUUAAAAUUCUUCAACUUAGGAUUUUAUUUUAUUUUUUUCCAUUCUAUAUUUCAGGAAUCAAAAACAUUGUUAGUAAUUCUCAAUAAAUACCUCAAUAGAUGAAUCCCGCGCGUAUAUGAACAUCAAACUAGCUAAAGAACAUCAAAAUGUUGUUUCUUUUCCAAAUAGUAUCUAAAAUGGUGUUUUUUUUCAUAAUGCUAAGUAGAUUCUAACCAAAGGAUAGCAUUUUCCAUUGGUGGAAGUGCAAGGGCCAUGGAGAAUUCACAAGAGAAAUUUCUUGCAGUAAACUGACAGCUAAUUCAAGACAGGCUAAGAUAAUAAGAUCAUUCCAUUAUGAUGCUAUGUUGCCACAUUUGAAUAAUAUAUGCUCUUCUUCUAUUGAGGUUAUAUCUCCAUUGACAGAAACCCAAGUUUCUGCAAUUUUGUCCACUGUCCCUUCAAGAAUCUCAACCAAAGUAAAUCCUCGCCAUGUCCCUCUAGAGUCCGUUGAGCUUCUGUCGUCACCGCUGAUUCUUUUAACUCUGGGAACAAUAGCCCCAUUCAGGUAUAUAGUCUUGUCACUGCCAACCACAAGCAUUUUUCGUAGACCAUUUCCAUAUGCCAGCUCUUUAUGCAUAUGGCCGAACACAAUCAGAGGGAUAUUCAAACUGGUCUUCUCCUUUAAGUGGGAAAUUGCUUGAGCUAGAUCUGUACCAGAGGAUGAGGAUGUUCUUGUAAAUAUAAUGGGGUGAACAUUUAUUCUAUAUUAUAGACAAAUACAUUGCAUCUUAUAACACAUUUUUGGUUUUGUUCCCUAUGCAUAUCUAAUGACUUCAUGCUCCUUUUAAGUUGCUAAUCAUUUAAGGCUAAACUAAUUAUACAUAACAAUCACAUCAAUGCCCAGAAUGAAUUGUAUUGCAUGGUGCACUAAUUUAGUGAAUUAACAAAGCUGAGACACCUAUAAAAGCACAUGAAUUCAAAAAAGUUACCUGGAUCACCAUAAUCACCGCCGCCAAACACCCAAUCUUUUCCACAAAUGUCGUUCAAAUUAGAACCAAGACCUGAAAAAAGGCAAUUAAGGCCAAAAAUAGAUAUCAAUAAAAGCUAACAUUUUGUCGUGAAUUUUGGCCAGCUGAUCACCUGUGGGCCCAUUAUGUGCGAGCAAUAUAAGUAGAUGGUCUUCUGGAGUGCCCAAAGCGGUAUGAUAGAUUCUCAUGGCACUUCCAUCCAUGUCCUGGACUCCAUAUCUGAGAGAGUAUUCCAAUUUUAGAAAGUUGCAGAAUGAGCAAUAAAAUCAAGCAACAGACUACAUGGAAAAGAAAUUAAAGAAAAAAAGAUUCAAUAUUAGCUAAUCCAUUCAUUCAUUUGAAAUCUAACUCGGGUCUAGUGAAGUCACACGAAUUUGAAUUGCAAAGAAACAUGAUUAAAUUUUGUGAUUUUAAUAUCAAGGCAAAUACUAAGCAAGAUAUAGGAGAGCAAGUCACUGCUGAAUUUGUUUCUUUGAAAAAUAAGAAAGAAAACAUGAAGAACUGUGACAUUUAAAGAUUAAAAUGCCAUAAACCUUCAUUCUUUUCGGGUUUUAUAAGUAGACAUGAAAAGUCCACAAUAAUGAAUGGAAAGAAAACAAAGAAUAAUCGAAUUUUGGAAUUUACUUCAACCAAUACAAACCUUGCAGACAGAAGUUUAUUCCGAAAUAGCUGCUCACCACCACAUGAAAAUGGCCGUCCACCAACAACACUAAGUUUAAGCUCAGGGAAAUCCAAACGUUUGUAACCUACAUGUUCUUUGCCAAGACUGACCAUUUCCAAAAAGGUAUUUCAUUCAACAAAUAAAUUACUUCAGAGUAGAGUCCCAGCAUGAUGUGCAAUGUGCUGGAGGAGAUGUAUUGAAACAGUUCUAUAUCUUUCUAUCACUAUAUUAUAUAUUGCAUGCACGCAAUUUGUAAUGAAAGUGAUAUUGAAGGCCAUAUAUAAAUGACUCAAAUACGAGUAGAUGCAUAUAUGCAAUAUCCUCUCAUUAUUUGAGAUAUUUUUUUUAUUUAAUUUUUCAUAGAAGAAAGGAAUAGAUGAAUUAUUUGAAAUAUACAUGACUUACACUCUGUAUGGAAAAAAUAUCCAGUCCAAAGGAAUAAUAACAGUUCACAGAUAUUAUAAAACCUUUCCAAGUCAAUUUACCGUUCCCCCUUUCUUCUCUCUCUACCCUUCCUUCUACAUAGCCAGUUUCAUAUUCAAUACCAACUGUCUAAGUAGGAAGCGGAUAACAAUACUCCAAUAACACCAAAGAAAUGAAUGAAACAGUAAUCCUACAUGAUUCUUAAUGCUGACAUGUCAAGCAAUAUAAAGAAAGAGAUACUAUAAGCAUAAAGAUAAGAGCAAAAUUGGAAUAUUUUUAGAUGUAAACAUCUACUUCAUGCUAAUGAAGCUAUAAAAAGCAGCAUAUAGAACAUUUGCGUUGCUCAGGGACAAGAUAAGCUCACCAAUCCAGCUGAAGUUGAACACCAUCCUUUGUCCUAAUAUUCAAAUAAAAAUAAUAAUAAUGUAGAAUGAAUUAACUUUAUGUCAGGAAUAUGAAAACAUACUCCUAUGGCCUAUUUUACAAAACUCAGAGAAUAAGGCUAGCUAUCUGCAAUAUAUCACAUAAACACAAGUACAAACAAGAAAUAUACUCUUAUAAAAAAUUUCAAACAACUUGGGAACUUCCUUUGUUUUUCUUUCUUUCUUUAUUCAGAUUACCCGAUUAACAUUGCAUAAAAGAACUGAAACGGCUGUUUAUAUUAUUAACAUCGCACAUAAGAACUGAAACAACUGUUUAUUAUAUUUAACAGUACCAGUCCCCAUAAAUUUAAAAAAGAAAAUUGCCCAAAGCAUAGAACAAACAACUCAUUUUAAUACAUAGAACCAAUGAAUUAGAUGCAAUUAUAAAGUGGGCUGCAGCAAUACACACUUACUUUUGAGAGAACUUCUGAGUAUACCAGGAAUCAUGAUUUCCCAAAAUAACUGCUUUAGGAAAUUUAAGAUCUGCAACACUUUGGACGAGCUCUACAUUCUCAUUACCAAAAUCACCUAAACAAGGCCCAAGGAGAGGGGAGGACAAGAAAACAAGAAAAAAAGGCCAACAAGCCUAAUAGGUUAGAUUUAACAUUUUACUAGUAAUGUUGCAAACGCAUACUCAGAAUGACUGGUCAUGGUACAUAUUAGGCUGAUUUUCAUAAGUCUAAUGAACAUGUAUAUAGUGCAUCUGCAUGCACUAUGUGUCAAUAUGAACUGAAAAUUGUUGGUGUCCCACAUGGAACCAGAUCCCUUUUAAAUAUUUCCUUGAUAUUUGGCUUGUCAGUGAAGACAGUCAAAAAGGGUUGUGAAGGCACCGUGUAUGAAUUAAAUGAGGACCAGCCAAAGACACCGUACAGGUAAAAGGUGAUUGAGAAGAAAACCUGCCUGUAAACAGCACCAAAUCCAGCUGCAUAAUGCAACAUAUAUUAGGUAGGUAGAGGAUAGCUAUGCACAAAAAUAAUAGGAAAUGCUCACGGAAAAUCUAAAAGAAAAUUGAGAGAAAAAAAAUGGCUGCUUAAAGGCAACAACACCAAGCUAUAAAGAGUUUGUUGACCCACAACAACUUAAUCUUACAUGGAAUUUUUACUAAAAUCAAUUUUUAGAAUUGUGAAAUGAAUCUCAAGAUGGACUCCCAAAGUUAGCUAAACUCAAAUAGGCACUACAAAAAGCUUGAAUAGUCCAUGGCCCAAAUAAGCACAUAGCAACCUCAACUUAAACUCAAUGUCAGUCCUGCUUAUUUACAUCCUUAAUGCAGGAUUGUUCACCUGUGUUACAUUUUACCUACACCAAUAUUUUUAAAUAUGAUAUGUAUGCAUAUGUGAGUGUCUUUAGUUCCAGCAGAAACUAUCCUUCAAUGCAGAAAAAGAGAAAUACAAGAAAAGGGACACUAUGAUGAGCAUCAACUUAAUUAAGGGUGUCUUUUGCAUGCCAAAGUUUAGUGGUUUUAACUGAUACAGACAACCCAAUAUAAUGUCGGCAUAACCACCUGUGUCUCUUGAUUGCAAUUGGGAGAAGCAAUGGUUGGCACCAGCAUCAAGUUCAUAGAAACCCUACAUUGAAAUUCUGUACUUUCAAUGUGGGAUCCAAGUCCCAUAAAUUAUAAUUGGGAUAAUAACAUCCAAUCUUUUUCUUCUCUUGGAUCCAUGGAUCAGGCCCACCAAAGUACGGCCAUCCAUUACCGUCUUUGUCUAUUUCUCAUGACUCCCAAAUUCAUGUUCAACGAUGCCAUCUAAAUUCACUUUCCAUAGAUAUAUUGCAUUUUGGCCCAUUAAUGAACCCAAAAACUCUGCAAAACCUCUACAGAACACCUAAAAUGAAUUGUGACAGAUGACUCCUAUUUUCACAUUACAAAUCCCAAAAUCAGUGCAGAUGUUUUCUCCUCAAUUACAAGGAAAAUUACUUUUUAGUUAUGAACACGAAUAUAUAGAAUUAUAGAGUAAUAAACGCCCAUCCCCCCGACAGACAGACAGACAGACAGACACACACACACACACACACACACAAAAGCGAAGAGAAGUACCUGCAGAAGUUGAAGAGCCUUUGUAUCCUCUUCUAGAUUCCAAUCAUCAUGCUUCAAAAAAACCCCAGAAUUUUCAAAAAAAGAAACAUAAUUUGCUGAAUAAAAAUUUUCCAAAAAUGAAAUGAUUCCACAAUUAAAACUUAUAUUAAUCAAUUGCUAACCACACCAACAAAACCAAAGAUAGGGUUUCCAAGUUGAAAACGGAACACAUGCUUCGAAGAGCAAAUAAAUGCGAGAGAGAGAAACUCACUACGUCUCCGACGACAGCUACUCGAGCCGACGCCGACAUUGAAGAGCAAUGGGUGGUUCUCUUAGAGGAAAGGAAGGGGCGAGUAUGAAAAAAGCACGGAGUGGGCGCGUGAAGAAACGCGCUCAAGUUUGCCAUAACAUAACCUUCGCUUCCAAUUUGGCGCGCUAUUUUUACUGGCAAAUAAAGGAGUAGGUGGAACUUUAAGCCGUUAAACUAACACUAUUGCUGUCCACGUCACUGCCGUUCCGUGUAAAAUACUGUCAAAUGUCAUUCUCAAGCUAUGACUCAUUUUUCAAAAUUAAAUGGCAAAAAAAUAACAUGGUCAAAGAAAAAAAAAAAAGAUCAACCAAGAUGGAUUUGAGCAUGUGAUAUCAAAGCAUUUUUCAGCAUCCUUAUUGUUUCCUAAGUCAAAUUUUCAUCUUCUGUUAUUGUAACACGUCAAAAUGUCAAUAUGAAGCUCAAAUAUCUCAACCCAAAUUUCUCUAAGCUACAUCCAAGAUUUUCCGAAGGUGACAUCUUUUACUACAAAAUAAAUUGUUGACUAUAAAAUAAAUUGACUGUAAAAUUUUCGUUGUUUCAUCUUUAUCGGUCUUAAUCAAUACAUUGUUCACUCUAAAUAUAUAAAAAUAUAAAGAUGCACAUAUACACUCGUAGAGACAAUAUAAUAAAAUAUAAGAUUCUUAGAGCCAGUUAACUUUUAUAUAUAUAAUAUUUAUUUUAUAUUUUUAAAAGGAUAUUUUUUAUAUUUUUCAACUAUAUCUAAUUUGAUAUAUCUAAUUUUUACAUUUUACAUUAUUUUUACAUUGUUUGAUAUAUAAUUUUUCUAAGUUGAAAGAUUACGAAAUUAUAUCUAAAAUAUAUCUGUCAAAUAUCUGCCCUAUCCAAUUCUCUCAUUUAAAUAUUUUACAAAGAAACAAAAAAAAGAAACAGUUACGUGUCAGAAGACUUGAGCUAUCAUCAAAGUCAAAACAUAAAUAGGAAAUCAAGAACUUUUCUUCAACAAGAACCUAACAAGAACCUAAAUUCUCAGGCACAAAUUAACAGCUAAUAAGCAUAAGCUCUUUCUUUCUUCUUUCAUGGCUAUCAAAACCACCGUUGCCCUCCUAAUAUUUCUAAUCACUCUCAAUUUUCAUUUCUUGGAGGCAAAAGAUUGGAUCAAAGCAGCAUACUAUGAUUCAUCAAGUAACCUCCCUGCAUCUGAAGUAAAUUCUGCUCUUUUCACUCACAUUUUCUAUGCUUUUGUUGCUAUAAACACUUCCACUUACCAGCUUUCGUUCCCCUUCUCUACUGAAUCAUCUCUCUCAACUUUCACAGUUAACAUUAAACGAAACAACCCAUCUGUCAUUCCAGUUCUGUCAAUAGGACUCGGAUAUGGAGACUAUUCUCCAUUUUCUUCCAUGGUUAGCAAACCUUCUUAUAGGAAGUCUUUUAUCAAGUCUUCAAUGAAAAAAGCCAGGUUUUACGGAUUUGGUGGCCUGGACCUCUGUUGGGUAUGGCCUAACACAACAUCUGACAUGGAAAAUAUUGGAGUUCUUUUAGAUGAAUGGCGUGAAGCUAUAAAUUUUGAGUCAAGAAACAGCACUGUUACUUCUGAGCCAAAACUUAUCCUGACAAUGGCUAUUUAUCGCCAGCCAACUAUUGCCGAUACGAGUUUCCCAGUUGAAUCCAUGCAAAGAAACUUGGAUUGGGCAAAUCUUAUAGCAUAUGAUUAUCAUUUGCCUUUAAAAGAGAAUAUUACAGGUAAUCAUGCAGCUUUAUUUGAUCCUUUAGGUCAUAUUAGUACUGAUUCUGGUAUAAAGUAAUGAUUAAGGAGAGGAUUGACAUCAGAAAAGCUGGUUUUGGGUUUGCCUUAUCAUGGCUAUGCAUGGAAAUUAGUGAACUCAAAUGACAAGUACUCCAUUGGUGCACUAGCAUCAGGACCAGCGCUUACAAUGGAUGGUUCAAUAGGCUACAAGUUGAUCUUAAUUAUGGCUAUGGAGCCAUUUCAAGCUACAAUGCUACAUAUGUAGUUAACUACUUUAGCAUCAAAUCAAUUUGGAUCAAUUUUGAUGAUGUUGAGGUUAUUCAGACUAAAAUUUUAUAUGCUAAGACAAAGGGAUUGCUUGGGUACAAUGCUUUUCAGCUUGGAAACGAUGAUGAUAACUGGGAGCUUUCUCGAGCUGGUAUGGAAAUUGUUCAUCUAUUACCUAAGUUCUGUUUGAUACUUUUUGUUGAGAAAAGUAAUCAUAAAAGCUUGAAAGCAGCUAAAUAAUACUCUCCAACUACUUUUUCUAACAGCAUAAAAAAUUUUAUUUUUCUGAAGAAAUAGUUGCAAUCUCUAUGCCAGACACUCGUAUAUAUAUAUUUAUAUGCACUGGAAUGAGGUAUUUAAAUCAUUUCUGUAAGUUGUUUUGUGUAUCUUUCUAAUACCUGGAAUAAAUUGGCAGCUUAUGAGGUUGGUGAAGUUCAUGAAAGGAAAAAGCAUUUAUGGAUUAGAGUUUCAAUCCCAAUUGCAAUGAUUACUCUGCUGAUCCUACUUGGGUUUCUAUCAUAUUAUAUAAAAAGCAGAAAACUUGAAUCAAAAGGUAAAGAUUUUCUUAUUUUUGCCUACUUAGACUCCAUUGUUUUGCUUUCUUUAGAAAUAGGUAAAUAUCUAUGAACAUGAUUCUUGACAGCAUUUGGAUUCUCUCUGUGUUUUAUGUUUCAGGGAAACUGAGUUUUGGUGAUACAGCAGUUGAUGAAUAUCAGUACCAAAAUGCUCCAAAUUUGCAAAUAUUCAAGUUUUCUGAAAUCAAAGCAGCUACAGGCAACUUUUCAUGCGAAAAUAGGCUUGGAGAGGCGCUUACAAUGGAUGGUUCAAUAGGCUACAAGUUGAUCUUAAUUAUGGCUAUGGAGCCAUUUCAAGCUACAAUGCUACAUAUGUAGUUAACUACUUUAGCAUCAAAUCAAUUUGGAUCAAUUUUGAUGAUGUUGAGGUUAUUCAGACUAAAAUUUUAUAUGCUAAGACAAAGGGAUUGCUUGGGUACAAUGCUUUUCAGCUUGGAAACGAUGAUGAUAACUGGGAGCUUUCUCGAGCUGGUAUGGAAAUUGUUCAUCUAUUACCUAAGUUCUGUUUGAUACUUUUUGUUGAGAAAAGUAAUCAUAAAAGCUUGAAAGCAGCUAAAUAAUACUCUCCAACUACUUUUUCUAACAGCAUAAAAAAUUUUAUUUUUCUGAAGAAAUAGUUGCAAUCUCUAUGCCAGACACUCGUAUAUAUAUAUUUAUAUGCACUGGAAUGAGGUAUUUAAAUCAUUUCUGUAAGUUGUUUUGUGUAUCUUUCUAAUACCUGGAAUAAAUUGGCAGCUUAUGAGGUUGGUGAAGUUCAUGAAAGGAAAAAGCAUUUAUGGAUUAGAGUUUCAAUCCCAAUUGCAAUGAUUACUCUGCUGAUCCUACUUGGGUUUCUAUCAUAUUAUAUAAAAAGCAGAAAACUUGAAUCAAAAGGUAAAGAUUUUCUUAUUUUUGCCUACUUAGACUCCAUUGUUUUGCUUUCUUUAGAAAUAGGUAAAUAUCUAUGAACAUGAUUCUUGACAGCAUUUGGAUUCUCUCUGUGUUUUAUGUUUCAGGGAAACUGAGUUUUGGUGAUACAGCAGUUGAUGAAUAUCAGUACCAAAAUGCUCCAAAUUUGCAAAUAUUCAAGUUUUCUGAAAUCAAAGCAGCUACAGGCAACUUUUCAUGCGAAAAUAGGCUUGGAGAGGGUGGAUAUGGACCUGUUUACAAGGUGAAUUUCAACAAAUCCUUCAUUUUAGGUGCUUCUUAUAAGGUUAAUAAAACUAGUAACUAUAUAUAUGUAUAUAAAAAUGAACUUGGAAUGAAUAUAUUCAAAUUGCUAUGUAUUUGAAUCAUUGGGUGUAAGAAAAUUCCAUAUUGACUAUUUUGUUGGGCUUCGUCAGGGUAAACUUGCAAAGGGAGGGGAAAUAGCAGUGAAAAGGCUUUCAAAAACUUCACAUCAAGGAUUUAAGGAGUUCAUGAAUGAAGUUAAACUUACAGCAAAGCUGCAACAUGUUAAUCUAAUAAGGCUUUUGGGAUUUUGCACUGAUAGAGGAGAGAAAAUGUUGAUAUACGAGUACAUGCCCAACAAAAGCUUGGAUUUCUAUUUGUUUGGUAAGUGAUAUAUUAUUUAUUUCCCUAUUUGGUUCUCUCUCCAGAUUAGAAAUAAUAAAAGAAGCUUAGGCUCGUAACUCUGUUUUUGAUGCAGAUCAAAAGAGAAGAUUGGAAUUGAAUUUGGAACGACGCGUUCAUAUCAUUGAAGGGAUUGCUCAAGGGCUUAUGUACCUUCAAGAAUACUCAAAUUUGACAAUAAUUCAUAGAGAUAUUAAAGCUAGCAACAUUUUACUAGACGAUGAGAUGAAGCCAAAGAUUUCUGAUUUUGGUAUGGCAAGAAUUUUGCAGAAGGAGAGCAACGAAGCCAAGACAGGCCAGAUUGUUGGGACAUAGUAAGUAAAUUGCUUCUUGAAAAGCAAUGUAUUUGAUAUCAUCUAACAAUUACAUACAUACAUAUACCAGAAUCCUCUCCUUAACCAUCCCUUUAUACCAGAACCAACCCAAAUUUCUCUAAGCUACAUCCAAGAUUUUCUCUAAGCUACAUCAUUGACUGAACAAGUUUUGACUUUGAUGAUAGCUUAAGUCUUCUGACACGUAACUGUUUCUUUUUUUUGAUAUCAUCUAACAAUUACAUACAUACAUAUACCAGAAUCCUCUCCUUAACCAUCCCUUUAUACCAGAACCAACCCAAAUUUCUCUAAGCUACAUCCAAGAUUUUCCGAAGGUGACAUCUUUUACUACAAAAUAAAUUGUUGACUAUAAAAUAAAUUGACUGUAAAAUUUUCGUUGUUUCAUCUUUAUCGGUCUUAAUCAAUACAUUGUUCACUCUAAAUAUAUAAAAAUAUAAAGAUGCACAUAUACACUCGUAGAGACAAUAUAAUAAAAUAUAAAAUUCUUAGAGCCAGUUAACUUUUAUAUAUAUAAUAUUUAUUUUAUAUUUUUAAAAGGAUAUUUUUUAUAUUUUUCAACUAUAUCUAAUUUGAUAUAUCUAAUUUUUACAUUUUACAUUAUUUUUACAUUGUUUGAUAUAUAAUUUUUCUAAGUUGAAAGAUUACGAAAUUAUAUCUAAAAUAUAUCUGUCAAAUAUCUUACCUAUCCAAUUCUCUCAUUUAAAUAUUUUACAAAGAAACAAAAAAAAGAAACAGUUACGUGUCAGAAGACUUAAGCUAUCAUCAAAGUCAAAACUUGUUCAGUCAAUGAUGUAGCUUAGAGAAAAUCUUGGAUGUAGCUUAGAGAAAUUUGUUCAGUCAAUGAUGUGUCCAUUACCAAAAUGUUGCCCAGAUAACAUAGCUUUGCCUUCUUCAAUCGAAAUUGUAUAAACAGGCAUACAAUUGCAUUUUAGAGUAAACAAUUUCUAUUCCAUGGAUGCUACCAUUGCAAUAUAUUAAAACAUCACCUAUUAAUUAAUAUUUUAUUCCUUUUUUCAUUCUAAUUAACCCCUUCAUUUGCAUUUAGCAAACGUUAAUAUUUAAUAAACAUUGAUUUUUUAUCAUUAAAUAAUAGAAAUACAAACUAAUGAUAUCAACUGGAAUUAUAAUUAAUAACCACUAAAUAAUGAAAUUACAGUAAUGUGAUUAACUAAUUGAAUUGAAAUAUAAUACCAAUUUAUUAAAGUUUUGCCUUAUAAUUAAAUCUUUUUAUAUUUUAUUUAAUUAUAAAAAAUUAACAAAUUAAUAAACAUUUCAAUUGAAUAUAUGAAGUUUCUAAAGUAAAAAGGACAUAAUUUAAUUUAUAAACAUUUCAAAAUAUUUCAAUCUAUUAAUUAAAAAUUUCAAUUUAUUACUUGAAAGUUUCAAAACGGAUAUAAUUUCACAUUGUAUCAUUUAAUUAAAAUAAAUUAUUUAAAUUAAAUGAACAACAAUUUUCUAAAAACAUUUAUCCUUCCAAUUGUUUAAAAAAAAUAUAAAAUUACACAAUAUGCCAACGGAAAUUAUAUAAACAUACUACUACUAGUAGUAAACUCAAAACUCUAUUAAUCUGUAGUCUAGGAUUCAUUAGUUAACUACCAAAGUAAGGGCCAAAAAGAAAUUAUUAACAUUUUUCUCCAAUUAACCACUAAGAUGUUUUCAAUGAAAAAAAGGGAAAAAGAAAACAUUUGAAAAAAGAAAAUCCAGACCAAGAAACGUUUUGAGUCGAGGCUCAGAUCUUAUUGUGUCAAUCAGGAAGGUGACCAGAGCUAUGGCUGCAACAAAGAAACUAAGUGCGACUGAGAGAGUUGGAGCCAAAAUAAAUAAAUAAAUAAAUAAACAAAGGGAAAAUAAUUAUUUCGUCCAUGAGGUUCGAAGCAAACAUUGUGCAGCCAAAAACGUUAUUACCCUUUUGAGUGUCUGAUUUCACUGAUCAGAAACAUCAUCACUGCCUCAAAAACACAAAGCUA